GCGGGUGCCACCCUGCCUGCCAGGACUGCAUCAAGUCCAGCCUCAGCGCCGAUCCGCCGGUGUACCAGUGCAUGGACCGCGUCCCCAACUUCUGCGACCGCCGCUGCACCGCCGCCGCCGCCCACUGACCGGCCGGCUGAGCGAACGACUGAUUGCUGUGGAUUAUAGAUUUUUGUGUGUAGAGAGAGAGAGAGACGAGGAAUCUGUUCGUCUGAUGAGCAACCAACCAAACCAAUCUUGGGAUUUUUUUUCUCCUUUUGUUUUUUUGUCUUUUGUCUUGACACUGCUCUUUGCCGGCUACUACUGCUUGGUUGACUGUUCUUGGUUGCGACUUGCGAGGAGAUAAGCACGGUGAAUCACCGGAAUUUGGAAAAAAAAAUUGCUUUCCUUGCUGGUUUUUUAGCUUGGUCACGCCGACCCUGCCUCGGAUAAUUGAGGUCCACGCCACACGAGCUUGGCCGAUUUUUCGUCUGGACAUUUUUGGGAACACAGAUGCUGCCUCAGUGCCUCUCUGUCAGGGAUGCAGGAUGAUGGACCUGGACGCUAAUCCGGUCUCCGGCGCGACGCGAGGCCGAGGACGAGUUCCAGGGUCAGAUUCACCCUCCAAAACGACAGGGGUGUUCUCACUGAUCCGAUGACAACAGGCACUGCAAGUGGAGACUCCUACCCCGCACUCGCACUCGCACUCGCAGAUGCGCAUUUUCCGCGAGGAUAUGCGGCAAACAUGCAGCGUCUGAAUUUGGAGCCUAGUUUCUUUCAAAAAAAAUAAAGAAUUUGGAGCCGAGGUGGGGAUAAAGGCAGGGAAUAUGUCAUCCAAGGAAGAAACUAGCUGCGGUGUAUCUGCAUACGUGUUCUUGGUCGAGAAAACUAUGCUGCUACUUGCAACGUGGUAGCAUUGGACACUACAAAUUCAUGAAAAAUCAACAAACUGGUGGAAUUUUCUUUUUUCCAGAGUAGCACGAAAAUCAACAAACGUUCUCUUUUGAAGUCAGGAGAAGGAUUCACUAGUGCACAGCUCUGGUGGAGUUUUCUUUUUUCCAGAGUAGCACGAAAAUCAACAAACGUUCUCUUUUUGAAGUCAGGAGAAGGAUUCACUAGUGCACAGCUCUAAUUUUUUUUGAGGAAAUUGCAGAGCUCUAACAAAGUUUAGAUUAGUACGGAGCUCUAUUUUUUUAGGAAAUUGCAGAGCUCCAAUAAAGUUUAGAUUAGUACAUAGCUCUAUUUUUUUUAGGAAAUUGCAGAGCUCUAAUAAAGUUUAGAUUGAGCAACUCCAAGAGUCUAAAAAAAAUCUCCUCCAAAACUAUCUAUUGGGGACUCUACUAAAAAUUUAUUCUCUUAAAAUCAUGUCAUCCCACAAUAAUAAACUUCCCAAUACUUCAAAACUGACCACGUCAGCACCAAGUAGCUUCAAAAUGCGCCGCCCAUGCUCCGGCCGUGCCGCGUCGGCGGCGGCCUCCGCUCGCUGCUGCUUCUGCUCCUCUUCACCGUGCUCCUCUCCGUCGCCACCUUCUCCCUCCACUCCCCCGACCCCCUCGUCGUCAUCGACGCGCCGCCGUGGAAGCCACAGCUAAUUCGCCCAGUACGGCGGGCCAAUCGUGGCCCUACCCGCAGCAACAUCGGGGCGCACUCCGGUCUCAGCAGCAGUAGACCGGGCACGUACCACCCGCCCGGUCCCACCCAUCGAUGCCGCACCCCGCGUGGAAGAAGUGCGGGCACGGUAGCACCCGCAUGAGCUCGUCGCCCCCGGCGGUGUAGUCGAACAGCCAGAUGUCGCAGCGCUUGCCCGCAUUCCCGCCGCCACCUUCACCUGGGCGUACGUCACGAGCGUGUUGGCACCGAGCGCGCGCUCGCUGUCGUCGUGCACCGCGCCGCCGGUAGGCUCGUAGGCGCACGAGGAGGCGGCGGCGGAUCGGAGACGCUCUUCCACUGGAAGAGCAUCCGUUGGGCAGUGCGUCCAUUGGGCAGCAACCGCGAGCGUUUCAGAGCUCUUAUACUACCUGGAGGCGCCACCGCAGCGUCUUGGAGUGAACGCCACUGCGCCGUCGAUGGAAGGGAGGCGGAGGAAUUGAUGGAGACUACGAAGGACCGGAUCGAACCCGCGCGCCGGCGAAGUCCAGUGGCGUCUCGUGGCCGCAACAACUUUUGAAGUACCACACCGUUAUGUCCUCCACCACUACCUCGAGCACGCACCGCCACUCCCCCGACGGUGUCCAUCACCCACACACGUGCACUCCCUUGACGCCGUCAUGCGGCAGAGAGCAAUUGGGCUGCUUGUCACGGAUGUUGAAGCCACAUUGCCGGAGCCGCCCGCUAGUGGACCUGAGGGACCGCACCAUGCGCUCCACGGACCCCUCCGCGAUGGGCGGCUCACAGAGCACUGUGGCGUGACCGCACCGCCGGCUCAGCCAGUAGAAGCACGUGUCGACAUGGAUCCCAGGGGACGCGGUGUUGAGGCAUCGAGACAUGCCCUGGGCGCCGAGCGUGGUCGUGGCUCAUCUCCCGGUCGCGGAGGUGAAAAACGCCACGAGGACGCGCCGGAAGCGGGUGCGGGUGAGGAUCAUGACGGUAAAGGAGACUACGAAACAGUACUAGAGCGAUCCGAGAAAAACGAUUCGAGGUGAUUGUGGAAGAACCAGUAUGCGGGGCGAUGGAGGUGCUUUUAGCGUCCAUGCAUUUUUACGUGGAGGAUGCAGGGUUGUUGGAGGUAAUUUUUUUUUGUUUUUCUCCAAAAUAAGAUUCUGGGGUAAUUUUGAAGGAGCUCCUGUAGUUGCUCUAAGUAUCAACAAGCACAAACCAGAGAACAGGCUUGUUGGGCCUGUUAUCCGAGCGGUUCUCAUAGAAGCAAUGGCCCAAAACAAGAAAAGGCCCAAAGAGGCCCAGGAGUUCUCGGCGGCAGAGCGGAGAAUCGUUCGGUUCUGUCUGCGAGUUCUUUAGUACCACCUCGGCUGCUGAAUGCGGACGCGCCGCAAGCUCCCGCUAUAAGAUGAGCGCCCCGUGCCCCGUUGCUCCAUACUUACCUGGACGGGGUCGACGGGCGAUCAAGAAGGCCCGUGGCCUAGGUCAGUGGCCCGCAUUGCACUUGGCGGGUGCGCUGGCUUACCAUCUCCCCAAGUGGGAGAGUGGACGUCAUAAUUUGUGGUAGAGGGGGUACGCGUUCGCGCGGCCCCCACCAAUUCUAACAAAUCAAAAUGUUGUCCUUAGCCCUCUGGGCUGUCUCUAGAAACAGGGGCGUUGCUGCAAUUUGUGGUAGAGGGAGUAUUUUACUCGUAUUAAAAAAAUAUUAGCAGUUUCUAGUUGUAUGGUUUGAUCUGAAUGGUUGAAAGAAAUAAAGUUGCGUUAUUUUAUUAGCACGUGCAAAGCCACGCGGCCAAGCUGACCCAGCCAUGGCGACCCAUGGCCUUCUCCCCUCGUCACUCUUCGCAUCCACCACCGCCAUUCGCGCCAUCGCAGCGCCAACCCGCACCUGCCACCGCGUACUCUCCUACGGCACCCGCCGCCGCCGCCCCCUGGCCUUCGGCCGCCGCGCGCCGGCGAUGGACGCCCUCCGCGUGACGGGAGCCGCGGAGCCGCUCCUCCGCCCCUCCGUCGGGGGACACCCCAGGCUCCGCGUAUGCCGCUCGACUUAACCCCCAAUCGGCGGCUAAACAUAGCCGUUGCGCGCCCCCUGCUAUUCUGGGGAGGAAGGCGGGGUCUGGUUGGCGGUGAAGGUCUGACGACAUGGAGGUCGAUGUGCAGGUGCGGACCCAUGCGCAGGGCGAGGGCGAUGCCGGGCGUGGCGCCGCCGCGGAGGGGGACGCGGCCUUCUCGUGGGCACCCGUCAUACUCCCGUAAGCUAUCUGUCAGCCACCUCUCGAAUUUUAGCAUUUGGAGAUUAUCUGGAGUGCGGGGUAGGUGUUGAAAUCAGAAAGGAUGCAUUUAUGGUCUGAUUCGACCUUGCACACGUUCUGAUUGAAGCAACCGAUUAAACUGUGAUCCUUCACUGCAUAGACAGUUUAAACUGUGAUGCUUCAACAUGGAGCAGUCAUAGAAUGUAUGAUGAUGCAGAGUAAUCUAGGAUCUGUUUAAUAUUUCUGUACAGACUGAUGCUUGCCAUAGCAAUGCUUCUUGGUGUAGAGUUUCGAGAAUAAACAAAUAAAAUGGGGUAAUCAGGAAGCCUAUCCAGAUUGCAGCCUUGCAGUACUGAUAGAUCACUGUUCGGAACCUAGGUUCUUGUUCCCUGCAUUGGGCGGUCUCCUUUUCGGCUAUGACAUUGGCGCAACCUCUGGAGCAACAAUCUCUGUACAAGUUAGUCCCCGUUUUGGUUUUUUCUGGAAUUUCCUCUAGCUGACAUACAGUCUCACUGCCACUGGGUGUAUUCUUCUUCAGUCUGCUGAUCUCAGUGGCACCACUUGGUUCAACCUGUCAUCUGUGCAACUAGGCCUUGUGGUAAUCCAAAUUUCUGUGAUUCCUAAGCUUUUGUAUCUCCCUUUUCAUAUCAAUUAUCAAGAUCCAAAUGAGUUUCCUUUUCCUUUUAUUCAGGCAAGUGGUUCACUUUAUGGAGCUCUUGGUGGCUCUAUUCUCGCAUACCGCAUUGCAGAUUUUCUAGGUGAACUGAAAAGCUAAACCAAUUUAAUUGUCCUUACCAUACUUGUUUGAUAAGGGGGUGAAUAACUUCUACCAUCUUGAUACAGGAAGGAGAAUAGAGUUGGUCACCGCAGCUGCAUUAUAUAUUCUUGGUGCUUUGGUCACUGGAUUUGCCCCUAAUUUUGUAGGUCUAAUCAUAGGCCGUAUCCUUUAUGGGAUUGGUAUUGGUUUGGUGAGUACCUGCAGGCACAAAUCUUCUUCCUCCCUAAGAUGAUCCCAGGUUACUGUUAUUAAAAAAAAUCUAAUUUACGAAUGCGUAUAAAAGUGAUUUUCUGGGGAUGAUAAGUACAUUCACUCAAGCUGAGUAACCUGACAAAAUUGUUAUAAACUUAUAAUGUCAUGAUGCCUCAUUAUAGUUUUCUGAUAUGCUAAUCAUUUACUGAAGUGUGAAGUAGCAAAACUAAUUGAUGUCACUGUAGCUUGAUGGUCAUGUUCUGAUAUAACUAAUUAUGGAAUAAGUAGAUAUAAAACAUUCCUGCACUUGAUUAUUCUGAUUCCUAUGAUGGGGUAGAACAUAUUCACUGGUACACCGCAAAAUCAAGCUGGUUGUAUUGCUAAGAUAUUUAAUAUAAUUUUCUUCUUUAAUUUCUGGGGUGGUUACAUUGCGUGUAGCACUUUACCCUAGCCUUUUUGACACCAACUUUCAACAUCCAUAAGCAUCAAAAUUUCCAUGGUUCCAUGCUUUCUUAAAAUGGGAUUCGUAGCAAUUGAAGAGAAUUACAGUUGCAAAGGAGCAUAUGAAUAUUUAGCUAGGGGUUUGGGAGAGUUUAUAGACCAAUGCUGUCCUAAAACAUUUGGUGUUAUGCCACUGAACCAUUAUGGUGCUAUGUGCCAGGCAAUGCAUGGUGCCCCACUUUAUAUUGCAGAGACUUCUCCUCCGCAAAUACGUGGAACAUUGAUAUCUUUGAAGGAGCUGUUUAUUGUGUUAGGAAUACUGGUAAUUAUCUAGUCUUCUGUAUAUUAUACUUUAAUAUACCCAUUUCAUGCCUGCUGACCAUUAAAUAUCUUGCGCAGUUCGGAUAUCUUGUAGGAAGUCUUGAAAUUGACAAUGUAGGAGGAUGGCGGUACAUGUUUGGUUUUGGCGCUCCGCUUGCAGCUAUCAUGGCUAUUGGUAUGUGGACUUUACCACCUUCACCAAAAUGGUUACUUCUCAGGGCAGUUCAAGGAAAGGGGUCUAUGGAGGAUAAUAAAAAGAAGGCAAUUCAAGCCCUUAGAACGUUGAGGGGCCGCUCAACAAGUGAAAAGGUUUUAGCAGAUGAUGUUGAAGAUACCAUUGUCUCUAUUAAGGCAGCCUAUGCAGGACAGGAAGGUGAAGGGAAUAUUUGGGAGGUAUUUGAAGGAGCUAGCUUGAAGGCCUUCACCAUUGGAGGAGGUCUUGUUCUGUUUCAGCAGGUAUUUUGUUCUCUUUAACCCAUGUAUUAGCAGGUUAUUCAAGUUAAAGUUCUGGCCAUGCUCUUAUCUUUUAUUUUUUUAAUUUUAUGCCCUUUUUUUAUCUAUUUUCAAAAUACGGAUGAAUGCUACUUCUUUUUGAGUGGUAGCGUAGACAUGCUGGAUUUUUGUUAUAAAGCUAAACUCUUACUUGACAGAUAACAGGCCAGCCAAGUGUUCUAUAUUAUGCAGCUUCGAUACUUCAGGUACCAAUAUUUUGCUUGGAAUUGUUUGGUGGUAUAGUUUUUAUAUAGAAAAUGUAGAAGUAGGAUACUGUUAUCUGCCCUAUACAUUUCUUGAAUUCAUACAACUCAACGUCUCCAUCUCUAAAGUAUGCCUUAUGUAGACUGCUGGGUUCUCAGCUGCAUCAGAUGCUGCCAGAGUGGCAAUUUUGAUUGGGUUGUUCAAGGUAAUGCAGAAGAUCUACUUCAAUACUUGUAUAUUAGCUGUUUCUGAAUCAUUCUGUGUAGGUAAAAAUGUAAGGAUCUUAUGCUUUCUAUUAGUUUUGAGUUUGUGUAACAAUUCUAUUCUUCGCAGUUGCUAAUGACAGGUGUUGCGGUACUGAAAGUUGAUGAUCUUGGAAGGCGCCCAUUAUUGAUAGGAGGUGUUGGUGGAAUUGUGAGUAUUUGUUCCUUCCUGUUAUUUGAUUAAGUUCUACAUAUUACAUGGAAAGCCCCAUACACACACUUGAAUUCAGUUUGGCAAUUCCACUAAACAUGAACACUGACAAUACUAAUAUUUUAGGUAAUGUAUUAGACUACAACUCUACAUUAGAAUAAGAUAAUUGGUAAACGUAGUAACUUUGUGCAUGUUCUGUCAGGUUUGCAUUCCUAUGUUCUAACUAAAUUGCCUUAUGUUAUCUGUAACCUGUAAAUGCAGGCUCUGUCACUCUUCCUUCUUGCAGCUUACUACAAGAUCCUGAACAACUCCCCCUUUGUUGCUGUUGGCGCUUUACUUCUUUAUGUUGGUGCUUACCAGGUUGGUGCGUUAUUCUGCACGGGGAGCCUGACAAGCACAGCAAUAUUUUUUUCAGGAAUCCACAAAAAGCUUAUACAUCCAUGUGUUUCAGGUCUCAUUUGGUCCAAUUAGUUGGCUAAUGGUGUCUGAGAUAUUUCCACUGCGAACAAGAGGGCGUGGGAUCAGCCUUGCGGUACUAACAAAUUUCGGCUCAAAUGCGUUGGUGACAUUCGCGUUUUCACCCUUGCAGGUAUUGCUUCUCAAGUUCUCAUAUUGCUACCUCCUGGCUCCUGACGUGCAAUUUCAUGAUGUUUAGUUUCUGCAAGUGGAGUCCCCAAAUUACAUGAACAACUAAACGUGUCAAUACCUAGUAGUUGCGACCAAUGAAUCCUUUCUCAAUAAAUACUCAUUUUUAUCCUUGUCAUAGAAAAACUGCUGUUCCCUGUUCUAUGGUCCAAAUUCAGCAUCUUAUCAGGUCCAAACUCCAGACUAGUGUUUAUUUUUGUGUGUGUAUUUCAAAACUCCACCCUCUGCCAACUGAUCUCCAACGCUGGGGUUACCGGACUAGUGUAUUUUGGCUAUCUAUUCGAAUACUGAUAUAGCCUUUUUCAUUUUGCACAAAUACGGGAACAAACAAUACGUGCAGUUCUGCCAACAAUUUAUAUUUCUCUUUUCACCACAGGAAUUCCUUGGGCCAGAGAAUAUAUUUUUCCUGUUUGGGGCCAUAGCAGUGCUCUCCCUUGUGUUUGUGAUCCUCAAUGUUCCCGAGACAAAAGGACUGAGCUUGGAGGAGAUUGAAUCUAAGAUCCUGAAGUAAAAUGGCGUGGUCAAGGCUCCACAAACCCCGGUUGUUGGCCAGAAAGAUUAAUGCCGUUUACAACAUGGAUGCUCACUCGUAGGAUCAGAGUGCGUCAGUCUCAGACUUAGUAGCGCAGUUCACGUCUAGAUGUAAAGUUUUUCCUUCUUGUAAUUAAUAUUUCUGGAUAUGCAUUUGUAGCUACCAAGUCAUAACCACGUCCCAAUUGUCCAUUGCAUCUCAUCCCAUAGCAGCAGUAAGUAAUCGACUAAUCGUCGUGUUCUUGUGACUAUGCUGUAUGUGCUGGUGAGCUGCCGCAAUGAGGACGUCCCCAGUUACCCCCACUGUUUAGUUUUUGUUUUCUGGAACUAUUUUACCCCUACUGUCUGCUGGUGUGAAACUAUGCUGCAGAAAUUUGUUUGUACUUGCUCACUGAUGCUUACCUGUUUAGGUAAGCUAUUUUUCUCUGUUUUAUUUCCCGAAAAAAAAGGAAUGCCGAUGGGGGAACGGCGGAUGUCUUGGGAAGUAGUUUGGCGAUGGAGAAAAGCCAGCAUUACUGUCACUACUGCUCACAGAUGGAUGCAUCUGCAACUAGACUUUGUUUAGCAUCAGGACUGGAGUGUCACCGAACCAAACAGACAUCACAAUCAAGGAGCUCAUGAACAGAAAUGUAAAUCUGACCGACACAUUUAAUACUUGCUUAUCCAGCAUUUGAUUACUACUUAUCCUAACGCAUCUGGCCCAUAUUGCGCGUCCUGGUGGGGUUUGGAAUCGUGCAUUAUAUACUCUUGAUUCAGGAAUAAGCACACCACGGCAACUACUCCGUAUUCAGAUUUUUUUAUAACAAAAUGCAUUAGGAAAUUGAUCCGGUAUCCAGUGUGCUAUUUUUCGUAGAAUUUUCAAGAUAUUGAGGUACGCAACGGAAAUAUGAAAACACAUGAAAAAUGACAUGUCCUGUCGUGUCAUCGUGUGUGGUCACUGAGCUGAGCUUUCAUGCGUCUCCAUAUAGCUGACUAAGCUGAGCAGUUAGGUUCUUGCUUAUCAAACACGUAAGAAUGCAAACACUAACUAUAAAGUUAUAUAUUGUUCCAGGCAGGACUGCGAGAAAGGGAGAUUCUUCAUCCAGUUCGGUUGCGAUUCAGAAGUGCGAGUAGUACAUGAUCAACAAGGAGGGAGGGAACACGUCGUGCCGACUUGAUUGCCUCCAUCGUGGUGGCGGCAGCAGCAGCAACCCGACCGACGAGUCAGUCGCCGAGUAUGAAGUGGGAGCGAGACCGACGACGAUGUGAACCUCCCGCCCAGACCACGACAAGCGGGGGAUCCCGGCGACCUCGUCUAGUCUGGGCGUGGCGGCCGGAGGCCAUGGUCAUGCCCUGGCUGUUGCAGCCUGGCCAUGGUCCAGUUGCCAAAGUCUCCCAGGUCCCAGCGCUAUUCUUUCGGUGCUACACGACGUGCACGUUCCCUCGUGACGUGACGUGGACUUGCACACCAACAAAAGUCUCGGGCUCCGCCGUGCCGGGACGACCCUCCCUCUUGCGCGCGCACACGCGCUCCACGUGCAGGCUCCACGGCUUUCUAAUCUUACCAGCCAUGCUCCACCACCAAACAAUUAAUCCUAGUCUAGAUUCCAAAAGCAAACACCCAGUGCCAUGCACCACAGUUGCACAGGUGAUAAAAAGCACUAUGACUUGUCAAGCAAACUCGUGUUACCAGGCUAGCAGCUACCGUUCCAAUCCACCCGUCGCGCGUCAAGACUACUCGUCCUUUUCAUCAAACAGCAAUGCGACGGACGGUGCGAGUGUGACAACACUCUUAGUAUGACUGACGAUUAAGGAUGGCUUGCUUAUUACUCCCUUCACGUCGUUUUGAUUUUUUUAAUUCAUAGAUAUUAUCACUACUAGGAAAAACAGCUCUAGUAUCGGUUGAGAACCCUCCUCUAGUAUCGGUUUCGCAAUCGGUACUGGCAAUUCGGUACUAGAGGGGUAGAGGGGGAUCGUUUAGUACCGGUUGAAAUAACCGGUACUAAAGGGUAUUAAAAAAAUUAAAAAAACAAAAAUCCCCCUCCCCCGCCGCCUGCCCCUCCACCCGAAGCCGCUCAACCGGCCACUCCCCGCCGCCCCGAUGGCCGCCGCCACCGUGCCUCGCCCCACCGCCACUCCUCACCUCAGGCACGAGGUGAAGGGUGAGUGGAGGGGGAGGAGAGGGGAGGCCGGGGAGGGAGGGAGGGGGCUGGUAGCCUGGAGAGGGAGAGGGAGCGGAUGGAGAGAGGAUAUGAGGAUGAGGGAGGUGGAGCGGAGGGAGCUGAGGAUAAGGACGACCACUAAGGGGGCCAGUGCUUGGCGCGCGGACGGAAAACACUUCAGUACCGGGUGGAGCCCCCACCUGGUACUGAAAGGGGGUCACGGAAGGCUCCUCGGGGACUAUCCAUUAGGUUCGGUACUAAACAUUAGUAUCGGGCUAAAAAGUGACCGGUACUAAGCCUUAGGAUGAGAGGUCAUUUUUCUAGUAGUGUAUUAUGUACCUAAACACAUACUAACCUAAAAAUGAUCUACAAUUUGGAACAGAAGGAGUAGUAUUCAGCUAGCAUUGACUAAGCAAGCAAGUUCAAUUCUUUGCUGGGACGAUGGUGUCCUAAUUUUAUUUCGAUUGGUGACGAGGUGAGUUGCCUGAUGUAUCUGGCCCAUAUGGCGUCCUGGUGGGGGGAACGGGAUCGUGCAUCGUGCCAGCCGGGAAUUAAUAGAAGAGGUCACAAACUCACAAUGAUCCCAACCAGGCGUUGGGUUAAUUAGUGGUUCUAUAGGGACUUUGGAAUCCAAAAAAUACUCCUUUUAGAAAGACAAGCAAGGAAUCAAGCGCCGCGCACCUGACCGGGAAUACGGACAGAAUUCUGCCAUUCAGCACUAGUGCUAAUCAAGCGAAGAUUUCUAACGGUGAAAUCUGACUAUCAGUGACGCUGGUGCUCCCAUUUUUCUAAAUUUAUUUUGGAAUUUAACCGUCGCUAUUCUUUCAGUGGUAGACGGCAUGCCUGUUGACAGCGAGACGAUAGUGGUGCCUUAAUUUUUCGAAGGUGCUUAUAGGAGUAAGGUUGCGUGCGUGUAUUCGUAAUGGUGAGUCUGCAUACAUGUACGUGAGUGUCUGCAUGUGAUUUGAGAAAAAAUAGUAGUGUUAAUCAACAAGGUAAUUAACCCGUCGUGCUGACUUGAAUGCGUCGGCAGCUGCCGGUUGAACCUGGCUCGCCGAGUGACUGAGAGUGAGACUGCCAACCUGCCCAACGAACGAGGGACAGACACUCCCCUCUCCCUUACUUCGUUGUCAAGACGUGUGUUUGGUUGCUUGUAUUAUUUGGUUCGUAUAUGGAAUAGUUUAAAAUAAUAAUAAUUUUUUUAUUUGGUUGGGUGAAUUGUACCGACCUAUCUAGGAUGAAGUCAUCCCACUCAAUACAUUAUUCUAUAAAUAAUUAUGAACUAUAUGGUACAAGUAAAUUGAUUGAACCUACGAUCAAAUAUCAUCCAUAUAUGCAUUGCAGUCCUCGGUCCCGGAGUACGCCUGCGACCCGCGAACACACCGUCCGUCACGCCUGUUCAAUCAGCUGUUCACAGUUGCUGCUGCCCAUGGGCCUCACGUGCUUCGAUCUAGAUGCCUAGUGCCCACUUUGAGCAUCUUCCCCAUGAUAGUCUUCUUCUGACCAUCUUUCUUGAACGCAUACAUCACUUGAGCACCGUAAUCCUGUGCUCCAUCUGCGAAGGCCCAUCUAUAUGCAUGUCACCUAGGUGUUAGGGCUUCAAAGAACUGAACUUUGAGAUCGCUUUUGGUGGCUAGGAGCAACUUCACACGCUGACAUCAUGCAUUUCUUUUUGAACUAAAUUAAGGGCCUGUUUCAGCUUAGCUUCUCGGGUCUACUUUGGAAAGCUGAAACAAACAGUCCAGCUGUUGAAAUUGCUUUUGGAAAGCUAGCUUCUGAGGAAAUGAACUGAAAGCUGGAAAGCUAACUGAGAGGAGCUUUUCCUAACUUUUGGUGUGUUGAGAAGAUAAAAAUUUAUUACAAAAGUCAAUAGCAAAAGAUCAGCAAUCAAAAAGUCAAUUUUCACAUAGCUAGCUUUCCAGCCAAAAACUCAGGACGUUCGGCGGGCCUGUCCUCAUUGUUGUUUUUUCUUUUUUGGGAUAAUACGCUUGGUAGCAAUCUUUCUAACUAAAUCUAAGGACACACAGGAUAUGACAUGGACGAUAGGAGAUGAUUAUGAGAAGAAUGUUGUUGGUGCACUACACGGGCAACCACAAUGUGGUAGAAAAGUAGUCCAUAUGUACUUUUAUUUUCCAUUCAGCCACCUAGUAACAUUGUGCAAGUAAUCCAUAUGUAGGAGUACAAAUUAAUUUUCGGUUAUCUAUAGGAAAUGGUAGUGUUAAUGGCAACAACAUGUUUUGGAAGUGGAUAUAUAACACACAAAUUCCGUACCUUUUUGUGUGUUCGAGAGGAUCCGUGUCCCAACUAGUUUAGUCUUGUUUGGCGAUGACACAUGCACCUACAUCCAGGACCUUAGGGUUAGGAUUAGUGGGUUUUCAAUGUUAGAACUUGGGUUUUACCAUUCUCCGAAAACAGAUGCAAGGGAAGAAGGCAAUCUUGGCAGUGGAAUCAACGGUGCAUUGACAUUAGGGCGGAAUGUAGUGAAGCAGCGGCAUGAAGAAGGUAGCUAAGUAUAAUGGUAUUACAAGGGUGAUGGGAGACGACGAUGAGCAGAAUGUUGCGGCUUGCCGAAGCAUAACCUACUAUUGUGGUUGGAGCACCGACAAGUAUGGGCAACCGUACAGCCGUAGAGGAGAGGGGAGGGUGAGCCGAUCAGGGAUGUUAGGUAAUUUUCUCUUAAUGAAAUACGUGCUAGUGAAAAAAAGGACGUUAGGCAAACAGAUGGGAGCAAUGGAAGAAGGAAACGACGUCAAUGUUUGAUCACCUAAAAAUCGUGUGUUUUCAGCAUUAGAAUCACUAUGAGUGAGAAGUAGACAGGUAAAAACCUCAAGUACCAUGCCACUACUUGCACCAGUCGCAGUAUAGUGUCCAAUAAACCCACAAAUGCAGCGUCAAGACCUGUCGUUCCUACCUCUCCGAUCCUAUGAAGCGAGCAGCCAGCCAGCGCCGUUCCCUCUGAUGCCGUCCACUUCCACGUCCCUCCCGUGCUGCCGUGCACGACAAACCCAGGCGCUCGUGCCGGUGUAGCCAUAGCCCCGAUGACUUUGACGACGCGCUGGGAUUGUUGCGGCCGGAAGCUAUAAGCCGAGCACGCCGGCCGAUCGCUGAGAGAUCAACGUGUCUUGUUCCAGCUCCACCAUGGCGUCUGUUCUUGCCGCGGUGGUGCCCGUCCUGCUCGCUCUUCUGGCUCGAAGCGGAUCACCGGCCGCAGCCGGCGCCGCCACCGAGUUCGUUCUCGCCGGCUUCGCGGGUGCGAACUUGACGGCCAGCGGCGCGGCCGUGGUCACCUCCUCCGGCCUCCUUCGGCUCACCAACGAGACCAACGAGGCGUUCGGGCACGGCUUCCACCCCGCACCGCUGCGGUUCAAGGACGCCUCCACGGGCGCGCCGGUCUCCUUCUCCACCACGUUCGUGGUCGCCAUCCUGCCGCGCUACCCGGACGCGCACGGCCACGGGCUCGCUUUCGCGCUGGCGCCGUCGGCGACCGUGUCGGGAGCCGUGGCGGGGAAGAACCUCGGGCUUUUUAACACGUCGAACCACCUCGGGAAUGGGCAGAGCGAGGUCGUCGCUGUCGAGCUCGACACGGCGAUGGACGAGGAGUUCGCCGACAUCAACGACAACCACGUCGGCGUCGACGUCAACAGCCUAAAGUCCAAUUGCUCGAAGCCAGCGGGCUACGUCGCCGACGCCGGCACCGUCAAGCUCAACGUCAGCUUGGUCUGCGGGGACCCCCUGCAGGUGUGGAUCGAGUACGACGGCGCGAGCACGCGCCUCGAGGUGACCGUGUCACCGGCCGGCGUGCCCAGGCCGGCCGUCCCGCUUGUGUCUUGCGCCGUCAACCUCUCGUCGGUGGUGGCCGACGGCACGUACGUCGGGUUCUCGGCCGCGAACGGCGCUGCCUCGAGCUCGCACUACGUUCUCGGCUGGAGCUUUCGCCUCGGCGGCGGCCGCGCGCCGGACCUCGACCUGUCAAAGCUCCCGCGGGUCCCGUCGUCUAGGCCCAAGAAGACCAUGCAUCCGCAACUGGUCCUGGCGCUGAUCCUGCUUGCCGUCGUGGCGCUCCUCGUGGUGUCAGCGGGCGUCACGCUGUUCGUCGUCUGGCGCCGGCGGUUCACCGAGGUGGAGGAAGAUUGGGAGUUGGAGUACGGACCUCACCGGAUCAGCUACAAAGACCUGCACGCGGCGACCAGAGGCUUCCGCGACGUCAUCGGCGCCGGCGGCUUCGGCCGCGUGUACCAUGGCGUGCUCCGGCGGUCGGGCACGGAGGUCGCCGUCAAGAAGGUGGCCCAUGACUCGCGGCAGGGCUUGCGCGAGUUCGUCUCGGAGAUCGCGAGCAUGAGCCGGCUGCGCCACCGCAACCUGGUCCAGCUCCUCGGCUACUGCCGGCGACGGGGAGAGCUCAUACUCGUCUACGACUACAUGGUCAACGGCAGCCUCGACAAGCACCUAUUCGACGCUGAAAACAGGCCGGCGCUGAGCUGGGAGCGGCGCGCCAAGAUCAUCCGCGACGUUGCCGCCGGGUUGCUGUACCUGCACGAGGAGUGGGAGCAGGUGGUGGUGCACCGCGACAUCAAGGCCAGCAACGUCCUCCUCGACACCGACAUGAACGGCAAGCUCAGCGACUUCGGCCUGGCGCGGCUCUACGACCACGGCAGCGAUUCGCAGACGACGCACGUCAUCGGGACGCUCGGGUACCUCGCGCCGGAGAUGAUCAAGACCGGCAAGGCCACCCCGAGCGCCGACGUGUUCGCGUUCGGCGCCUUCCUGCUCGAGGUGGCCUGCGGCCGGAGGCCCGUGGAGUCACUCAGCAACAACAAUGCGGACCCGGCGGGGCUCGUCGACAACGUCCUCGAGUGCUGGAAGACCGGGAGGAUCAGAGACGCCAGGGACCCGAGGAUCGGCAAGUGCGACGAGGACGACCUCGAGCUGGUGCUCAAGCUCGGGUUGCUAUGCUCGCACCCUGAUCCCCGGUGCCGGCCGAGCAUGAGGCAGGUGGUGCAGGUACUGGAAGGCGCCGCGCCGGUGCCGGAGACGCCGCCGGAAGAUCUAGGCAGCAGCGGCAGGACCUUCGGGUACUACGAGACGUUCGAUGAGUUCCUCAACAUGUUCCCGACGACGAUCGAGGUGGCGACCGUCACGCCGCGCCUUGGUCGCACUCCAGCGCCGAACACCAGCACCUGAUCUCCGGCGGAGUUCUGGCUCUGCCAUCAGCUCUCGUCAAUAAAUUACAAAAUUCUCUUGUAACUAAAUUCAAAUUUCUCUUACCACUAAAUUGCUACAAAAUCGCUGUGAUGUGCUUAGGAUGGUUCAAAUUGGAAAGCAAACAGUUACAAGAUUAGGUGUUGUAAUAAUCUUGUCUAAAGAAGUGAACAUAGGUUGUCAGACAGUUUUAGGAUGAUCAAAGAGUGGUUUUGCUUUCAUAAGUCCUAACACCUAAUUAACCUAAUCGUUGAGGUUUUGUACGUGUAAUUUUUUUUCUGCAAGUGAGUAAUCGUUGAAGUUUUGUAUGUGUAAUCUUUUUUGUAAGUGACCAUAUGAGAUACUAUAAUCUCCGAAAUGUUUUUCUACAUAUUCAUCAUUUUAGAUUUAUAUAUUUUUGAGAUAACUCAUCUUGUAAGUGAUAAGAACUAAAGAUCAUGUUACCACUCAACCAUCAAAAUCACAAAUAAUAAUCUUUUUUUUCCUUAUAUCCUCCCUUCGUUGACCGCAACAUUGACCUACGCAUCAUAGAACAAGCAAACCGGUUCAUGCAACCCAAAAUCCCCACAUUUAAAACUCUGUACCUGUAAUGCAGUGUGCCGUUGCAUCCUCCUCAGUCCCACACGACACGAGCAAGGCAUCAGCCAUCACUCCCGUUUGUCACAAACACAGCCAAAUCCGAUCGAUGUGAACGGCAUCGACCGUUCACCCAGCUAUUCUCUGUCGUUCAUACCUGGUCGCUCGGUUCCCCAGCGAAAUAACAUAGGCAGACCCCCCGCACAUAGCUCUGGCCCAGAGAAUGACUUGAGAUCCUGGCAUCUCUCGAGCGAGCAACUCAGACAUUCGAGUGAUUGACCAUCGAGCCAACACGUGGGGUGGUGCCGACCUGAACGCAUCCAUCAUCGAGUGCCUCUGCCUGCCCAACGCCAACGAACGCCGGCCCGGACCUCGCUCGACCUCGUCGUCAACAAGGCCGGCCGGUCCCGGAGUACGGCGGCCAUACAUCCGGCCUGUGGAAUGCUAAUAACAUGGGAUGGACCUGGCUGGAGAUAUCCAGCAAUGACCACACGGUGUGCAUCGUCCCAAGCUGCAGAGUCAGUCAGUCGUCGUCUUCUAUCACAGCAAACGCAGUACAGUAUUUAAGUAGUGACAGCUACCUGUUCUUGGGUCCCUCUCUGAAUGUUGUACAUGUAUCCGCUGAAUCUGCAUGCAAAUACAGACGGCAGAAGUAGGGACUGAUGACUUGAGGUCUAGACGUCUAAUUAAGCUGAUGUCGACCUCUGGGUACGUAUGCUAUUUACCAAUUUACCACCAUGUUGUUGAUCAAGAUCAGAUAACCACGGUGCUUGUUGCCAGCCUAGAAGGUGCGGUGUGAUGGACAGAGACGGCGGUCACUGCUUGCGAGUGUGGUGCAUGCUUUUGCAUUGCCUGGCCGUUCGUCUGCAAUCGAUAUGAUGUUGUUCAGCUGCCGCGUAAGCUAGGCAAGUCGAUCCACAACUUGGCCGGCAAUUUGCAGUUUCCUUGGCUACGUUAUGCCUCUGGUUAGUACAGUACUAGCUCCAAACUCCCAACUGAAUGCAUGCGAAUGCAAACCACACAGAAGUCUCGAGCUGAAGGGGCCAUUAGCUGGGUAUGUGACAGGGAAUGCGAAUUUGACUUUUGGAAUGCAUGUCGUCGUUUUCCACUGUGAGAAUGACACCUCUACUUGUGUCAAAUUCAGCAAAAACCUAAAGAAUGAUUUGCAAAUUUUAGAUCAAAAAUUUUUACGUCAUAUAUGAAUUGGAGUUUUGCAAAUUCAAAGGUAUCUUAAAGUGAGACACUACACGGCAAAAGCAAUGUGGUGCAGUGCUCCAUAUGAAUAUGCAACACACAUAUAUAUCCUCACUGACAUUUUGCGGAGCUGAAUUUCCAGCAUCUAAAACAAAACAAAAAGGAAUGGGAAAUCUAUAUGUGACUUGAGUAUUCCCUUCAAUAAUUUCUUUUCCGAUUUCAGCUACAUGCACAUAUGACAUCCCUGCUUCAUGUCCGGCAAGAUCAGGGUUCCAGAUUUGGGGAAUUGGAGGCUGCAUUAGAGGAUUUAGAGGGGAGGGAUGUGAAUGAAGGUUAGCCUAGCAGUGGAGGGCCACGGUGGCCACAACGGUGAAGUAGCAUGUGACGGAGGAUGGGCACUGCUGGGGAUCGCCAAAGAACUAAACACCCUCGAGCGCCAUUCGUGGGCAUAGUUUUCCAAAUGGGCCGCCCGGCCCUAGCCCGGCACUAACCCAUCCUGGCCCAGCACUAAUAGGCCCGAAGGGUUUUCGUGCCGGGCUGGGCUGGCACUGCGUGCCGAGGAGGCAGCCCAGGCCCGGCCCGACGACCUUUUUAUCGGGCUGGGCCAGCCCACAACACGACGGGCCAUGCCGUGCUAGUGCCCGGCCCGGCACUAGCAGCAGCGGCCGGCUCCAGUUGCCCUCGGAGGGCGGCGACGGUCGGCGGCCGGCCCCCCGCGUCGGCCCCUGGCGGCGGCGGCGGCGGCGGCUGGCCCCCCGCGUCGACCUCGGGCAGCUGCGGCGGCCGGCCCCCCGCGGCAGCCUCGGGCGACGGCGGCUGGCCCCUUGCGGUGGGCAUGGCGACCACCGUCGCCAAGCAAGCAGGAAGGUGGGACUGUGGGAGGACCCUGGGAGGCGGACGGGUGGAUGGUCAAAUGGGGGGAAAUUGAAAGUAUAAGUAGGGUUCUGCAUUUAUAUGGUAGUUAGAUCGGGCCACAUCGGGCCGGUCCAAAAAUCAUGCCAGGCUCAUGCUGGCCCAGCGUGCCGGGGAGGCGGCCCAGGCCCGGCACUAUCAUCGUGCCGGGCCAGCCCUGGCACUAUUCACUUCGUGCCGGGCCCGUGCUCGUGCCGUGCUUUUUAGUGUUGGGCCUCGAGCCACCCAACGGGCCUGGCCCAUUUGGAAAUCUUUGUUCGUGGGUAAAAACUCUCUAACCUCGCAAGUUCUUGGUCAAGGAAUAAAACUUGGUUAACCUCGCAAGUUCUUAUGGAAACUAUUCUGGUAGUAAAACUCAUACCCUCGCAUCUUCUUUGUUACUGGAGGGACUCGAAGCUGGCAACUGGUAACUAAUAACUAAACUCCAACUGAGCUAACCCUCGAGUGUUCGGAAUCAGUCCUGAACACCGAGCUUUCAUCUUUUUUACUCUUUACUCAGGAACGGAACCUGAAGGGAGAUUCCGUGAGGUUACAAGAUUCUCAGAGCAACACAACGAACCAGGCGUCACGAGGUUGGACAACUAUCUCAAGCCAAGGGUGGAGACACGAGGCUGGAAGAUCGAUCUGGUGAAGGUGAAGUCCCGAGGUUGGAAGGACGGAGGCGUGAGAAACGUGACCAUAUUGAGGAAUUCAAUUUAUACACGUUACCCCAUGACCUUUAUGUAUGGCAUAUCCUAGAAAUGUAGUGGUUGAGGAAGGACAUUUCGAAAUGUAAAGUGGCUCAUGUGUCACUAUAAUAGGGGAGCUCUACUCCAUUGUAAAGGAAAAUCGAUUGUUUUUUAGAACUUCCAAGUGUUAUCUCUUUUUAUUCACGAAUUUGUUUGGUAUCGAAUUUUUCACGAAUUUGUUUGGUAUCGAAUUUUCUUUGAGACCAACAGGCAAUGAGGAGGUUAGGGUGGGCGCAACUCAUUUCAAUGGUGUAUGGUAGCAUAGUGAUGACAGAUCGAUCCGGUGGUGGGAUCCACCUGAAAUGAGAGAAGAAGGGCGGUAAGGGGCACCACUCAACGCAAGAGGAAGCUCCUCGGUGAGCACAUCGGGAGGAAGAAGGAACUACAAGAAGAAGCCCAAGGAAGAAGAUCUAGUAACUGUUGGAUUUCAAUCCAUGAACAUUCAGAUGUAUGGAAAAGAAAAGAAAAGAAAAGAAAAGAAGCCCGUAAGCAGUAUAGCUGGCCUAAAAAGAGAUACCAUGCAUGGCUUCAAGGAUGGGUCCGGGAUGUGCACUGCUGGCGCAGAACCCAAACACCAAAACAAGCACACACUUGCCAAACGUCACUCUUCAACACUUGUCGUACAGUAGAUUUCUACCUCUCCCAUCCUUGUCGUGCUGUGAAGAUAUCACCCGCGAGCAGCCAAUCCGAGCGCUCCCCGCUCCCAUCCUGGCCCCUCCUCCGAUGCCGUCCACUUCCACGUCCCUCUCGCCCGGCACGGCGCCGGACCACCAGCUGAUCGAGGCAUCGGCGACGACGCGACCAACCCCUACCCGGGCACCAGUAACCGGGACAUGCCUUUAACACGCUGGGAUCCCACUUCGACAGAAAGAUGUAAGCAAAGCAAACGACGCCUCGUUUCGUUCCAUAUCAUGGAGGCGGCCAUUCUUGCCGUGCUGGUGGCCGUCCUGCUCCUCCUCGCCCGAGGCGGAUCGGCGGCGGCGGGGGCCGGCGCAGCCACCGAGUUCGUGUUCACCGCCGGCUUCGCGCGCCAGAACGUGACGACCAGCGGCGCGGCCGUGGUCACGGCCUCCGGCCUCCUGCAGCUCACCAACGAGACGAACGAGGUGUUCGGGCACGGCUUCUACUCGGCGCCGCUGCGCUUCAAGGACGCCUCCACGGGCGCGCCGCUCUCCUUCUCCACCACCUUCGUGUUCGCCAUCGUGCCGCGGUACCCGGACGCGCACGGCCACGGGAUCGCCUUCGCGCUCGCGCCGUCGCCGGCCGUGGCGGGAGCCGUGGCGGGGAAGAACCUCGGCCUGUUCAACACGUCGGAUAACACGGGGCAGGGGAGGAGCGGGAUCGUCGCCGUCGAGCUCGACACGGCGCGGGACGAUGAGUUCAGGGACAUCGACAAGAACCACGUCGGCAUCGACGUCAACAGCUUGGAGUCCGUGAACUCAACGCCGGCGGCGUACGUCGAUGUCGGCACCGGCAGGCUCGUCAACUUCAGCCUGGUCAGCGGAAACCUCCAGCAGGUGUGGGUCGAGUACGACGGCGCGAGCAUGCGCAUGGAGGUGACGGUGUCGCCGGCCGGCAUGCCCAGGCCGGCUGUCCCGCUCGUGUCGUACACCGUCAACCUCUCGUCGGCCGUGGCCGACGACACUUACGUCGGGUUCUCGGGAGCGAACGGUGCGGCCUCAAGCUCUCACUACGUUCUUGGCUGGAGUUUCCGCCUCGGCGGCGGCCGCGCGCCGGACCUCGACCUCUCCAAACUCCCGCCGCUCCCACCUUCAAGAUCCAAGAAGAUGAUGCCGCUGCUACUGAUCCUCACACUGUUCCUAGUUGCCGUCUUGGUACUACUCCUAGUGUCGGGGGCAGUCGUGGUGCUCGUCAGAAGGCGCCGCCGGAUCGCCGAGGAGGAGGAGGACUGGGAGAUCGAGUACGGCCCUCACCGGAUCCGCUACAAGGACCUGCACGCGGCGACCAGGGGCUUCCGCGACAUCAUCGGCGCCGGCGGCUUCGGCACCGUGUACCACGGCGUGCUCCGGCGGUCGGGCGCCGAGGUCGCCGUCAAGAAGGUGGCCCACGACUCGCGGCAGGGGCUGCGCGAGUUCGUCUCGGAGAUCGCGAGCAUGAGCCGGCUGCGCCACCGCAACCUGGUGCAGCUCCUCGGCUACUGCCGGCGACGGGGCGAGCUGAUGCUCGUCUACGACUACAUGGUCAACGGCAGCCUCGACAAGCACCUGUUCGACGCCGGCAAGCCGGCGGCGCUGAGCUGGGAACGGCGCGCCAAGAUCGUCCGCGACGUCGCCGCCGGGCUGCUGUACCUGCACGAGGGGUGGGAGCAGGUGGUGGUGCACCGCGACAUCAAGUCCGCCAACGUGCUCCUCGACGCCGACAUGAACGGCAGGCUCAGCGACUUCGGCCUGGCGCGGCUGUACGACCACGGCAGCAACCCGCAGACGACGCACGUCAUCGGGACGCUCGGGUACCUCGCGCCGGAGAUGAGCAAGACGGGCAAGGCCACCACGAGCACCGACGUGUUCGCGUUCGGCGCCUUCCUGCUCGAAGUGGCCUGCGGCCGGAGGCCCAUGGAGCGCAACGACGACCUCGACUCGCCGGGGCUCGUCGACCUCGUCCUCGAGCACUGGAAGGCCGGGAGGAUCAUGGACGCCAGGGACCCAAAGAUCGGCGAGGGCGACGAGGCCGAUGUCGAGCUGGUGCUCAAGCUCGGGCUGCUCUGCUCGCACCCGGACCCCCGGUGCCGGCCGAGCAUGAGGCAGGUGGUGCAGAUACUGGAAGGCGCUGCGCCGGUGCCAGAGACGCCGCCGAAGGAUCUAGAAAACAAUAACAGGUUGUUCUAUGGAUACAUCGAGUCGUUCGACGAGUUCGCCACCGUGUUCCCGACGUCCGGGACCACCACCGUCACGACACAGCCGUCUUCUUCGCACUCCAACGACGAGCAGCAGGAGGUGAUCUCCGGCUGAGUGGUGACAUCUUCUCUCUUCACCAAACCACCAAAAAGUUCAGUCAUGUGCCUACUUACGGUGGUUGGAACUUGUAAAGGAAAGCAAGUAGUCAUAGAUUUAGAGUCAAAGAGGUGUUUGAUCUUUUUCGAAGUGAACAUAGGAUAUCGUCAGCCAUUUGUAGGGAUGACAAAAACAAUAAAGUUUGAUGUAUCAAGUCCCAACUGCCGAGGCCGGCUAUACCAAUCAGGUUAAUUAUCAUUUUUGGCUGGUGCAUUUCCAGAAGAAAAGACUCUGCAAAUGACAAGUGCAUGAGAACGGGUGGUGGACCACAAUAACCUUAUAUGGAUUGUAGGUGAAACAGUGAAUCUCUUCAAAUUAACAGUUAAAUAAACCUCAAAAGAAGUAAUGAUAUGGAAACAUCAUUUUUGUGAAGAAUCAGAACCCAGGUGUCGCUUUCGCUGGGCAUCAACUUGCUUACAUGGGAAGAAGAUUGUGGCAUGUGAACCAUAAACUUUAUAAUAGAAGUAUUGAGUUUAGAACAGUGGUCAGUGGACUUGGGAAAGAUACGGGAAGGUAUCUGAAAUCUAAAAUAUCUGAACAACCGAAAUAGACAGCACGUACAAGUGACAUGAGGAAGGUCCUAAUUGGAAAAUUACGACAGGCAAUGCCAGCUUCUAUCCAUAUAACAUUAGCUUACAGGUUAGCUGACUAGUUCAUUCAUCUAUAGCCUCAGCCACAAGCAGAAUCAUCAUCAUCUUCCUGGAUGCCCUGUGCAGCACCUUGGAUCAUUUCAUCAUCAACUCCUGGAAGGAAGUUUAGAACGUCUGAUAUUUAGCUUUUGUCAUUACCUGCAGAUAAAGUCUACAAAAGGAAAUACAUGUGGAUGUACCUUCAAUGAAGGAUUCAAAUUCAUCUUCAUUUGGUUCCCUUGGUGCGAUUCGGCUGACUGAUUGAUUAAUCUCCAUCCAGUUUGGUUGCUCAACUGGGCCAGAGAACAGUGCAGGUGUAUCCACAACCCAGUCAUCAACUAUGUCUACGUAGUCCACUGAGACAGGAUCAAAUGCUUUCACCUUGCGCUGUUGUCUAUGAACAAUUAUUAAUAAGAUCGGUCAAUCAAACCAUGUUUUUUUAGCAACACAUUCAAAUUUAACUCAUAAUGGCAAGACUCUAUACAAAAAGAUGAUUCCAUUACCUUUGCUGCAGCCGUAGGUUGUAUUGUACAAAGGUGAGAUCAUGCAUUCGCUGACGCUCAAAACUAUUCAAUCUUUCAUCAUGAACUUGCUCAAAAGGAAUGUGCGCCCGAUCACAUCCUCUAGCGCUGCAGGUUUGACUAAGAAUACGGACCGCUAGACGUGUUAAAUUUGGGCAAGCUCCUCCAUAUGUAUACCACCAUUCAGCUGUAAGAUAAAAUAACAAUAGUAAAGGCAAAAUGUUAAAUAUCACUUAACAAACUUUACAUUGUGACAACAUCAUUAAAGGGAAGCACAAUUUAACUAGGUUCCAAAUAUUGAAAGAAGGCUAACAAUGUAAAGUUUGUCAGAAAAGUCUCAUUUGGUUAGAUAAAACAAAAUAACCCUACAGAUGUAACUCAAGUUUGCAUGACAAAAAAAAACAUAAUACUAGCGUGUAUUACUAGUUAACGAGAAAUUCUUAAAUACUAACCAGGAGGUAAAGUUCGUCUGGAUCGGAUAGCCAUCUGCCUACGAAAAUCCCCUGCUGUCUCACUCCGGUACAUGUUGAGCUCUCGCUGGAUUUUAUCUUGGAUUUUCACAUCAGAAACCAGCCUUUCUAUGCAAUCUAGCAUUCCUGAGAAGAUUCCAUUUGAUACAUCACCUCGAAUUCCAUCAAAAAAUAGUGGAUUCAGGAAGAAACCAGCUGAAUGAAGUGGCCGUGGUGUUUGGUUGUCCCAUCUCCAGUCGAUGAUAUUCCAAUAAGCCAUGUAGUCGUUCUUACUCACUAGCUCUUUCUUGAUUGCUGCUUUGGCCUGGUACAAUCCAGCAUAAAUGUACCCCAUAGCAGGCCUCUUUGUACUACCAACUAGCUUAAGGAGAUGCACAAGUGGCUCGGUGAUGUGAACAACAGCAGCACAAGAGGACCAAAACUGCAAACUAUUAACAAGAUUGCUUACUUCGAUCCCUCCUUUCUUUGGCAGCAAAAAGUGUAUCCAUUCAUCCGAGUUGACCAUGGCUUGCAAAGCCUCCUUCAGACCGUACAUGUUCUUCAGUGUGACAAAGUUCAUAGAAGCGCGAGUCUCUGCAGGAACUAGCAGAUCCUUCCCAUGCAGAUACUUCUUCAUUAGAUUCAAUGCAAAUGCGCUGUUGUAGAAAAAUCCUGUGAGGGCCUUUGCAUUACUUAUUAUCUCACUGAUUGCCCCUACCUUACUGAAAUCUUCAAGCAUGCCAUCGAUGCACUGGAAAGAGCAUGGAGACCAGAACAAUGUUGGAAAUGUUUCACCUAGCUUUUUUCCUGCAGCUGCAUGGAUCUCAGAGUUGUUUGUGAUUACUUGGACAACUUUUUUCUCGCCAACUUCCUCGACAACACUUUUCAGUAACUCAUACAGUGCAUCUGAAGAUGCGACAAUGCUGGUUGCAUCCACCGAUUUGAGGAACAUAGUGCCUUCUGGGCAAUACACUGAAAAGUUUAUCAAGGUUCUGCCUUUAUCAGUGAUCCACUCAUCAGCCAACACCGAGCAGCCAGUCCUUGUCCAUGACCCCUUGAAGAACUCCAACCGAGACGUCGCAUCAUCCAGUGACUUCUUAAGAAUGUGACCACGAAAGUCAUGGUAUGAGAGCGCCUCCGGCCUCCCUCCUGCCGAUGCAAUAGCCUCAAGCAUGGGCUGGAAGUAGACUGAAUUCACUGCUUCCAAUGGCACACCAACAUCAUACAAGAACCUCCCAACUGCCACAGAAACCUGCUCCUUGUCCAAACCAGCAUGUCCGAAAUGUCCUGAUGAUGGUGUAACUGCGUCGACUGCCAUCACAACCUGAUGAAGAGGAUUGGUCUGAGGAGUAGACGGAACAUGCUGCUGCAGAGUCGGGGGAGUAAGUGGUGGAGUGGAGGCGUUACUCAACAUCUUCCUCUUCUUCUUACUGCUGACACUCCCCCUCAUGGUCUCCGGAAGCGGAGGCCUCUGUUCGUCGAGCGGCACGGGUUCGAAGUCCAGCACCUCGUUGAGCGGGAUCAUGUGGAUGGGGCUGUCGGUGGCCCCACCGCUCGCGGCGGAGGCGGGCGACGCGUCGGUGGGGGCGAAUCGCCUCAUGUCGCCGGGCGGGAGUGCGUUGGCUAGCUUGCGCUGCAUCUUCUUGGCGGCGACAGCGUCGAGGCUGCGCAUCAUGGUGUCCUGGACGUCGCGGGGCACCUUGGGGCAGCAGCAGGCGUUCCCGGGGCGGCGGGCCAGGUGCUCCUUGAAGCGGUGGAUGCCGCCGCCGAGGAAGUGCUUGCCGCAGUAGGCGCACUUGAGGCGCACCCGGCCCUCGGCGCGCACCAUGAGGCAGUGCUUCCACGCCGGGUCGUGCUUCUGCGCGCCGAUCUGCACCACCUCCUCCUCCUCCGCCCCCGCCCCGGCCGCCGCCGCGGCGUCAUCCCCCUCCUGCCUCUCCAUCCGGGCGCGAGCACUGCAUCAGCCAUCACCACCGGGCGUCACGAACGGCGCAAUUGGAUUCGAACGCAAUUCAUCGAGAGUCCUGCUGCUAAUCCCCCAAUUAGCCGAUGGCGCGCGCGCGAAAUGAACCUGUGCGGCCCCGCGCGCGCGAACCGAGCGAACCAGGAGAACCUGAAAGGAGUGGGGGAAAGGGUGGGAGGAGCGGGAUCGAGAGAGAAGAGAGAACUCACCCGGGUUUUUGGGAGGCGAAACGGCCGGGCUCCCCCAAAUCGGCGUCCGCCGGGGCGGGGAGGAAGAAAACCAGUGAGGUGGAGGUGAUUGGGGAUGGUGAGCGACGGGCGAGACGUGGGUGAGGAGCGAGCCGGCCGGGUGGGGUUGGUUGGUUGACCUGGCCGAGAGGGAGGGGGAGAGGGAUCGGGCACCGGCCCAGCCGGUUCUCGCGUGGGUUGGUUCGGGUCAGGUCACAUCAGGUUUGGGCUGAUCGGGGCGAAUGUGCCGGACCGUGGGCCGGCCUGGUUGGUUUGGCCGGAGGAGAGUGCAAAGCACUCGUUGCCCCACCCGUCAAACCGGGCAUCACCGGCCGCGGCGCCGGCCCGGAGAUGCUCGUUUCCCGACUCCCGAGGCACUAGCUGUCGCGCAAUGGGUACGGUGCAAGCUGCAGGGGGCAGAUGGGGACAAGUAAACACCUCACUCCACUCCAUCUCAGUUCUCAGCUGAUGGCAAAGAUGAACUGAGAGCUGAUGGCGAAGAUGAACUGAGAACUGUAGCUAGAUUGAGAGCUGGGGAAAGAGGUCGGGGAGGGGGGAUUUCGUUCCGAAGGCCUUGCUACGAGCUGAUCUUACCAUCACCAUUCAGCAGCACCGAGGUAUGGUUCUCUCGGGUCACAAUGUUUGCAUAUCUUUCUGCAGAUCGAGCUAGGUCUAUAUGUUGGGGAAAAUAAUUAGUUUUCUCUUCCCUUUUUGGCUGGGGAAUGUCAGUGAAAAUCGCAUGGGAAACUUCCGUGAGAUUGUGCCCGUGCGUGUGAGAUUUCGGAAAUAUGUAGGACAAAUCCCGGGCAAAAGGAAGAAGUGGCGUGCUCAAUUUAUUCUUCCCCCAAGUGACUGGUUGAACUCGCUGGAGUUGGUAGCUUUGGUUCGUUAUGUGGACCUGAUAUGAUGUGCCAGUAUCAGGAGGGAAGUGCCUUUGAGGGAUGGGAUCAUGGGAAUGAAUCUUUUUUGUUUUUUUGCCUGCUCCCCUUCUCUCUUCUUCUCUGCUCGCAUUUGGGAGACCUGACGCCUACCAGGAAGCUAGGGGAGUUCAGUUCACGUUGAUUUCUUUGUUUGAGAAUUAGUGUCUUUUUUUGGAAAAAGACACGUAGGUUACCCCCGGUAAAUAAUUAGGCAUUAGAUUAGAAAACGUUAUUUGUCUCAUGAUUUAGAGUUACAAGUACUGUACUUCUCGGACACAUUUCAUGGUACCAAAUUAUAGGUCGACCUAUAAUUUGGAACAGAGGGAGUAGUACGUUAAUUUUAGGUUAUGCAUUCUUAGAUGUAAAGUAUGUGUACCUGUAUUUUGUUAGUUGGAUUUGACCAAUUGGUGUCGAUUCUUAGAUGGAGAAUUUUCAGGGUGUGUAGGUUAAGUGGGUGUUUGGUUCCACCUUGCUAAACUUAGUUGCUAAAGUUUAGCAACUUUUAGCUGCUAAACUGCCAAACACCCUUGCUAAAACUUGCUAAAGUUGAGUUGCUAAAGUUUAGCACUUUAGCAAGUUUUAGCAACCAAAAACUUGUCUCCCCCCUCUUGCGCACCUAUACCCCUCAUUUAUUGCUUGUCUCCCCCCUCCUGCGCACCUUUAAUAAGGGUAGAUAGGUCUUUUUAUAGCUCAUUAAAUGUCUUUUAGCAAGAGUAUCCAAACAGCUUUUGCUAAAGUUUAGCAACUUUUAGCAACUAAAGAUUAGCAAGAGGAACCAAACAUGCCCUAAGAUGGAAAUCAACAACUGUAGGUUUUAAGGACGUGAUUUAUGAAACAUUAAAUGGCUCUAUUGUAAUUAGGAUUUUCGCACUAUAAUAAAUCCCAACAGCUGGCAUCACAGUUUGGAUGGAUUUUAUAUGGGAGGCUGAGAGGUCCUAAUUUUGUGUCUUGAACUAGAUAUGUUGGGCCUAACGAAAUUUAGGGUCUUUCUAUCGAUCGAGAUGGUGUUGGUUUCAGCAGUUUUUUCAGUUACAGUGUUUGAAUUCCCAAAUCAAGGGUAGAAUGGGGAGAUGAUGAAAUGGUAGGCAUGCUGUUUUUCUCUAAACCUUAGGAAGUUUAUUUGUGCCCCCAUGCUGGGUGGGAUACAGGUAGCUCUGGUUUGUUUUUCAUAUGGCUUUCUGCAUAAGCAGGGAAGCAUGUUUCAUCUGUAAAGGAAGGGGAAUGCCACUGGAUGUGGUGAAAAUUUAGAAGGAAUGUACUGAAUGGUGAACGCCUACCAGAUGUCAGAAAAUAUGGGUCAAAUGAAACCUUAUUUAGGAAAUACAUCUCUUACGAGGCUAUAGAUUGUGAAUGAACUGAUACCUUUUUUUUCUGCAGGCAUGUCAAUAACCGAGAGCUUCACGAUAUACCAUGGGGAUAAUUUGUUUACAAAUGGACCUGCGGGGGUGCAGCGGAAUCUGGCCGGCCGCGUCGUGUACAAGAAGCUGCUAGGGCCGCAGUACAUGUCGUUCCAGCAAGUGCGGCGCUGGAUAUUGGAGAUGUUCAACGUGGACGAGGUGAGCUUGUGCUGCGGCACAUCGUGCCUGUAAAGCCCAAGAACCAGGCGCGCGCUUACAACAUGGCGGUUGAUAUAGUAUGGCUUGAUUCCUGGAGGACAUUUCUUGAAGUGUCAUUGCGCCAAGGUGUCUCUUUGGUACUCUAUGUUCAGUGGCAGGCCAAGGCGGCGUCAGGUCCCGUUUGUGAAGGCGCUAUCGGCGAGAAGAACAGCGCCACACCUGCUCUGGCUCCAGCUCCGGCCCCGGCAACUGCCCCUGCGCCCACUCCUGCUCCUGCUCCUGCCCCUGCGCCUGCUCCCGCUCCCGCUCCCACCGCUAAAGAGCCCACCGUGGCCGGUGAACAAGGCGGAAGCUGGGACAGGGAGGACCCGGGCCGACGUCUCUACCGCUGCCCUCUGUUGGAGGUACCUUAUACUAGUUCCUUUUCCCAUGCCAUUAUUUGAAGAAAUUUAUAGAUUAGAGAAGUAGUCAAAUCUACAAAUGACCUCGAUUCAUUCCGCUUCCCAGGAUCCUGGGGGAUUGUGGAUUCACGCAGUGGCUGGACGAGGCCUUCCCUGAAAAGGCGACCAUGCACAUCAACAACCUCCUGAGUAGGGAGGAGUGCCUCGAGCAGCAGGUCGAGAACCUCCAGGAGGAGCUCAACGAGCUCCGUCGCCGGUACGUGACCGGCAGCAGCCAUCGUGACGGGCAAGACAGCGAGACACGCCCACGCCAAGUCCGCAGAAUGAUCUAGGACAACUGAUGGUGUACCCUGCUUCUCCCAGUUUGCAUGAAGUCCUCAAAUGUUACUAGUCAUGCUGUCCGUUUCUUGUUCGUUCAACCAUUUGUUCAGUCAUGUUGUUGCUAGAGCAUGUCGCUCUGAACAGUCUGAACCGUGUUCCAAUGUUAUGCCAUCUGUAAUGUAAAUUACUUGCAUCAACGCAUUUACCAUUUCAGAACAAUGUUGGACGUACUUCUUAUUUUGUCGCUACUUGUAUCGGUUCAAGUAUCAUGUCGAACAACCGUACUGAACCCCAAAUCUUGCACAAGUGACAAUCUGAAAGCUGCAAACGCGUUUGAAUCCAUAAAGGUCUGCAAACAGGCGAGAGUGAUCACUAUCCAUUACCACUCAAGAAUUUCUCAUGUUAUCCCCAUGUCACGGUAAAAAGAAUUUGAAUAUUACCAAUCAGUACAACAUUGUAAAAACUUGGAACACCUACAGCAUGAACAAGCGGAAAAGCACAAUAAGAAGCUAUCACUGAUUGACUAGCAGUAGAAGACUGCGCACAUGGAAAACGGAAUCCAAAACAAAUUGGAAUAGAAAUUGUUUCGCGUGUAGUAUAUAUGACCAACUCUUGUGCGAGGAGCACUGAAAAACUUACAAAAAAAAAAACUUCUCCGUGCAUAUCCUCUUCACGAUGCAAUGUAGAGCAAUCUUCUUAGUGAUAUCCGAAAUGUCUAUGUCGCUAUAUGAACAACAGUGUUCUCCAGAUUCUGAAAACUACCAGCACCAGAUGCUACACGCUAAAAAUGUUCAACAGAAGACAGGUUAAAGUCUUAAAGCACAGUUAAAUAGGGUUAGGUCUUAGAACACAAGUAGAGGCGGGAUCAGAGAAAGAAUUCAAUAUAGUAAUGGUAUAAUGGAAGUGUCAUUGACUACAAUGCAAAGACGACAUGUGGAAUUAUGAAAUGUGCUCUGCUCUGCCUUCAACGUGUUGGCUACCUGCGUCGUCGCUUGAUCAGGCUCCAUUAGAGGAUUAACAUACAACUCUUGAUUUAGCCUUUCCUUUUUCAAAACAGAACUCACAUGAACCCCAUUUGUAAAUAACUGAAUAGAAAAACACAUUCAAUCUGCAUUCUGCAAUACGGACAGAGAUACUGCAUAUUUGAUUUAUUCAUGGAAGUUCAGAGUUUCAAGGCAUCUCAAACUGUAUGGCUGGAAUAUAAAGAACAAAUAUGCAUUGCAUGAGGUCACCCAAGUCUCACCAAAAGGAUCACACUUCAUGUCAUCUGCAAAACUGUAUUUGACCUGAAUUAUCAUGGCAGGACACAACUUUGUUCUUUUUUACCCCACCAUUAAAAGAACAUUUUUACUCAAAAACUUUGAAGGCAAUAAAAAUUUUGCCAUUGGGCUUUCCAAACAAGCUGCCCUUGUAGAAACCAGAAAAAAUUAUGAAAUCUGCUUGUAUAAGCUCAUAAGCUUUCGACUAGAUCCCAUGACUAGCUAUUAUCACCAGCAGAUAGAAUACAUACAAGAAAUAUCGUAUAAACAUCAAGUCAGUAGAACCAGCAAUGGUCUAACCGAGUCCAAGUUCUUUCUUCAGCUUCUCAAGGGCAGCCUCUAUUUCAGAAACACCAUCGUCAAAGUUGUUUGUUGCUGUCUUGCUAUCCUUAGCAUUUUUUGCUUGCCCUCCAAAUUGUGUGUAUGGAUCAUUUCCAGUGUCAUCCUUGGGGCUGGAGUCAUCAAUCUUCAGUUCAUUUUCCAGAAAUUCCACGAAUUCCUCACCAAUUGCCUGAUUGAGCAGAAUGCAAUAGAUGGUUUACAUGACAUUUCCCCAAAGGUACAGCUAGUAGCUGCAGAAUUAUCUAUCCUAAAUAAUUACAUGGUGAUUCUCAACAACAAUAGUUACAAUAAUAAAUUGUGGAAUAAAGCGAACUUACUGCUAAUUCUUCCCAGAGGCUUUUAGGUUUCUGAUCUGAAUUCAACCCAGCUUCCCAGUUCUGAAAUUCUGUUUGCAGAUCUUUAAGGAAUUCCGCUGCAAAAGGCACAAUCACUAUGGUCUCAAGUUUCCAGUGGCGUGAAAACAUUUAGUUGAACUAGACUAAAAGUCUUAUAUCUCCACAUAACAACCACUAUGGUCUCAAAUUUUCAGUAGAGAAUUGGAACCUCCACACCUUUUAGGUCACAUCAAAGUUUCCAACGAGGAACACAGCUCAUGAAAGCACAAGAGGGGAGAGAAUUCAGUACCGAACCCAUAGAAUGGCUCCUCUUCAGCAGUUGAUUUGCUCUCUCUGGAGCUAUAGGAGGACCAUGACGAAUCUGAACUGCUGCUCGCGUACUUGGAUCGGCUCUCUGAGUUCAUCAGUGUGUUGUAAGCAUGCUUGAUCCGCAGAAACUUCUCCUGGGCAUUAGGCUGCAUCGACAAAAUCCACGAAGCUAACGGUAAGCAGAGUCACAACCAACGUUCGUCAAACGGAACGCGAAGGGAUAAGAGCGCGAGCAAGCAAGCGGCAGCGGUCGCCACACGCACUUCCUUGUUGACGUCCGGGUGGUACUUGAGCGCGAGGCGCCGGUACGCGCGCUUGAUCUCGUUGGGCGCCGCCGACGGCGACACGCCGAGCACCUCGUACGGGGACUCCCUCCGCCUGCCGCCGCCGGCCCCAGCGCGCGCCCGCACUCUCACCCGCCGCCAGCGUGGCGCGGGGCCACGACAGGAGAGGCGCGCAGUGGGGUACGAGGGGUUGGAGACGAUAGCCAGGCGAACGAGGGCUCGCGGCGGCGGCGGCGGCGGAGCAGGACGCCUGCUGGAGAAGGCGAGCGGGAGGGGACGCGGAGUGGCGGCCUGCAGUUGUAGCGCCAUGGCGCAGCCGGGCGACCGGAGGCAGAAGAGAUAGCUGGAUUUGUUUUCUUUCGAAUGGCUCGCCACGAGCCUUCUACUGAGCGGGCCAGGCAGGAUUACCAGCCGUCCAGAUCAAGCGGCACCGGGCCACCGGGACCCAUCGGACGGCCAUCCUUAAACUGAAAAGCGUGAGAACAGAUGCUAGUUCUUCGACAUCUCAAUUCUCAACAUCGUGUAACCGCAACAAAACAAUCCGAUUAAAAUUUAAAAGCAUCAGGAUUGAACCCUCGUGCAAAGAGAAUUCACAAGUAGCAUUGAUUUAAAGCAUCAGAGGAUACAAGUAUACCAACGACCUCCCACAAAUCAUACUCUGAAACAAAAUGCAGAGCAUGUCAUCAGAAUACGACUACAGGAGUUUGCACAGGCCAAAAGUCAGAGACUUCCAUCAGGUCUGCUAUUUCAGCCUUCCACAAGCGUGGCAAAGUCUAAGAAUUGGAGUUGGAGGACGGCCCAGGGCCAAGCAGCAACUGCGGCGCAUCCUUCUUCUCGCUGCCGGUAUCAGAAUCAUCUUUCCGAGCAGGUCUUGCAGCUGCCCACGCACGAAGCGGUGGUUCGAACAUCUUCCCCGCAACAUCCGGUGGGGGCUGUUGGGGUGCGUCCUCUCCAGGGAGCACCACGAGGCCUUUCUCCCUGAGGGACGACGGCUCAUUGUAGCACUCCUUCCAGAGCGAAUCCACUAGCUGCCGCUCCUCGCGAGCAGCAUGGAGGUCGUCAGCGUCCAUCGCACUGAUCCCUUCGAUUCGGCUCUUGAGUAUGUCUUUCAACUUGUCUUGGUCGGGUAGAGUGUUACCGGAUGUCUUGUCCUGUGCCAACUCGAGGAGACCACUUAACGCAGCUUCACGCACUAAGGAAUCAUCGCUGGAUGCGAGGUGCAUCAUCAGCUUUGGAAGACCAAGCUCUGUAGCUAUGUUCCUGUCAGCUUUGUUGUUGUGCAGCAGAUAUUGUGUGAGAUUGAGAGCUUUCCUGCAAUGAUACAGCAGAUGUCAUUAGCACUGCAGUUGAAUAAUGCCACGAACAGCGAACGUUUCAGCCAAUACCAAAGGCAAAUUGGUCUAAAGUUCAGUAAAACAGAUAAAAUGGCUCCAAAACACUCAGUGCAAAGGAGCAUCCCGUACACCAAGCUCUCGAUGAUUGCACACUACCAUCAGAAAAAGAACAUUUCAAUACCGCAUGAGCACAAUAUCACAACAUGCUAAUAUUGUUAUGUUAGUAUGUGGCUGCUUGUUCAUAGGGUCCCUAUGGAUUCAAGAAUAAUCUUUGUAAGUGUUACCCUAAUUAUAUACUACUCUCUAAGACACUGUUUAAGAAGAUGCCUCAAAAUCAACCAAAUUGUAAAUAAGUCCUACAAAAUACUGGUAUUCCUGCUCUCCUAGUUAAUUAAUAAUCAACAUACCUCUGGAGUCUGGCAUCAUCAGAACUAAGAGCAUCCUUCAACCCAGCAUAACCAUUUCCCAGGCGGAAUGCAGAAAUUCCAGGCUGGUUAUGACGAAUCAAAGCUGCAAAAGAUAAAUGUAUGAAGUUUAUGUUAGCAUGAGCAAAAGAAGAUACUGUGUGCAAUUAACAGCACAAGUCUAGCAAAGGAUUAUACUCCUUUGAGGCUAUGAUCAAGAGCUAUACUUACAGGAUAUUGCUCCUAAAGCUUUCGUGCGUGCACUUGUACUUGGAUCUGAUUUGAAGUUUGUCAACAGGGGCUCGAGUCCAUUGGAUUCCAUGACAAGUUGCUGACUCUUGGGAUUGUUCUGCACAAUUGUACUCACAACUUCUGCCGCCCUUGCUCGGAUGCCAGCAUGUGAAUUUUUCAAGUAACCAAGUAGAGGAUCUAACCCACCAAUAGAAUGUAGAUCUGUUUGAAUAAUUGUAUAUGUGGAGUCAUUCGGAAUAAUAACCAGAAUAAACAUUUACAGGAAGCAUUGAUUUUCAACUACGAAUCUUACCAUUUGCCAUGUCAAUGGAUUCCACAUGCUCUUGUAGCUCAUCCAACAUAUCUGCAAGUAUAGCAAGUAAAUUGCUAUUCCAGAAAUUUAACGUACUCGAAGUACAACUAUGGUAAAAUUUAAAAUUCUGGUGAACAGGCAAGCAACAACAGUAAACAUCAUCAAUCAUUAAUUUCUCAAAUGGCCUUCGACUUGAGGGUGUUUGACUAUUUUUGCAUAUUUUUCACAUAUCAAUUAGCCUAGAUCGUUACUAUCACAGAGCAUUUGUUUAUUGUGUUUCCACAUCCUCUUAUAAUCGUACAAUACCCUGCCUGUGGAUUAAGAGUUGCACGCAUGCUGAUUGCUGAUGCGUUAAAUAUCCAGGUUACUAGUUAUUAGAUAUCUACCAAUUGCUGAACAUAUCAACAUAAAGGUAAACAAUUCAGAAUACUAGGCCGAGCCUCUUGUCUGUAAAAAGAAUGAAUCGACUUAGGAAGUGGCGUGGAAUGCUCCACACGGUACCUUCAAUGUUCUCUGGGGUCACACCCUGAGACUCCAAGACAUCUUCUGGAGUUUUCAUCACCUGAGUGAUCUCCUUCAUCCUCUUGACAACAUCUAUCGUGUUGGCUUGCAUGGCCUCCAUGAACCAUUUUCUGUCUUCCUCGCUGCAGAACAGAUCAAAUGAAAAUAUGAACAACAGUAACAUUUGAUUCCAUAUUGUUAUUUUUUCUAAUGAUAUGCAUCAAACUAUGAUCAAGUAGAUGAAUAAUUACAGUAAUACAAAACCAUGACUCACACUGCACUUAGACUAAGAACGGUAAUUUUGGCAAGCCACACGAAUUAGGUAAAGGACGUCUCUUAUUUGAGUUCCUAAAGCAUACGGAGUAGUAUGAUAGUAACUGAGCACAUGAAGUUUGAACACUAAGGUAAGCUAAUGAACACUAAUCAUCCAUUAGGGUUUCGGCACCGGACGAGCGAAAAAGGGAGGAAGUACGGGAUCCGGAGACGCGAGAAACAGACCUGAGAGCGCGCGGCGGGUUGGUUCCGUCGCCGUGGGCGAUGCUCCACUUCAGCAGGCCGUUCCAGUCGGGGCCCCCGUCCUUGGCCAUCUCCGUUCUGCUGCUGCUGCGCAAGAUGAGGCGAGACGAACGGCAAAAGGCGAUUGCUUCAGGCGAGAUCGGUAGGGUUCUCGCUGCGAGGUGGAUCCUCCUCUGCUUUUAUGGGGUGUGGUGUGCGGAAGUGGCGGUGGAGAGCAGGGGCUCCCCGUCGUCGUCAGCUGUGGCGUCGUGUAGAUGCGGCGGCGGAUUCCAGAGUACUCCGGAACCUGCGGUGUGCGGCCGCGGCUGGUCGUCUCCUCGACAACGUCUAUGGGCCGCAAAACGCUUGAGCGUUUGGUUACCCUCGGCCCAUCUGAGGUGUACGGAUCCGGGGGCUCCUAUAUGGCUUCCAUAAGCCAAAUAAGCAAUAUAGCUUUAAAAUCCAUUACACCCAUUCAGGAUGUUUGGCACUACUCCACUCCAUGAAAAUUAGCUCCAUUCCACCAACUCUAAAAAACUUGCAGCCAAACACGUCUAGCUCCACCAACUUCAGCUCUAAAAAGGUGAAGCUAGGGGCCAGAUCCACGUUUUUGGUGGAGUACCUCAGGGGUGCUCCAAAAACACAAGUUUCUAACCUCCUAGUGGAGUUGGGCUUACUUACCCACCAUUACCACCGGUUACACAACUUACCGGUUCGUUUCUAAUUUUUCUAUCCCCUCCCAUCGUCAUUUCCUCCCUCUAUCGCUCAACCCGCCGCGACCGGCUCGCCCCCGACAGCCCGAACGCGCCGCCCUUGACCGCCGUCGUCCGCCACCGCCAGCCUGCCCCCGACCGCUGGACCCUGCCGCCCUCCCACCGCUGUUGCCCGCCGCGGCCAGCUCGCCCCCGACCACCAGAAUGCGCCGCCCCCGACUGCUGGAAAGGGCCGGCGGUGGGCGAGCUCCCCCGAGCGCCGCAGUCGGGACCCGUUGCUGGCGGGGGAAGCUUCCGAGGUGCCGCGAUCGGUGCCCAUGGCUGACGGGGGCAAGCUCCCCUGGGCGGCACGGUCAGGGCGUAGGCCGGCAGGGACGAGCUCCCCCAGGGCAGCGCGUGCGGGCUGCAGAACGCCGGCCAAGCUCAAGCUCUGUGUGGCUGCAGGCAAGCGAGAUCCCAUGCGUUGCUGCUCUUGCAAUUUGUGACUAGGAAGAAAGAGGAAAAGGCUAGCUGAAGCCUGCUGAUUGCUUGCUCGUGUAGAUGAGAUUCAUUUUCAUCAUCAUUUCCGAUUGAUGAUUGAUGAGCAAGAUUGUUCUACAUUUUGCAGGAUAAUUUCUCAUAAUACAUGUAGCACUGUCUAAAACUGAGAAGAGAAGAGGAGAGGAGAGAGAGGAAGAGGAAGAGGAAAAGGAGAAAAUAGAAGAGUAUUACAUGUGGACCCAUUCACAGGAACAAAAUAGACUAUUCUCAGCAAGUUCUCAUGUUUCUGGAGCUGGAUCACUACAAUUAGUCAAACACGUAUAACAACUCCAUGAUUUUUUGAAGUUGGUGGAGGGAGCUGCUAAAAGAUGGAGUUAGUGGAGUGGAGCUGUUUGUUUUUUUAGUGGAGUGUUACCAAACACCCCCUUAGUAAACACCCCCUUAGUAGUAACAAACUAGUUUCAACAUUUUUUUACUAUUGAAUCAACAUCUAAAAUUAACAGAUUCAAUAUUUUCUGAAAUAUAGAUCAACAUAUAUUCAACAUUUUUAACUUACUACUUCAACAUUUUGGUAAAUUGGAUUCAACAUUUUUCCAGAGAAGAAUCAACAUUUUUGGGAAUUUUUUCUUCUUCUUCAACCUCCACCGCGACAGCGAGGCCGGCGAGCCCCGGGAGGCGGCAGCAGGGUUAGCGCGUGCGGAUGUCGGGGCAUUGGCACGAGGAGGAGCGCCGCCGAGGUGCCUACAGGGCUGGCGUCGGAACUCCUCGACCGCGAGGCCAACGGCGGUGCUCCUCAACGGCACACGCGGCCGUAGCGCACAGCUGCGGGCGGGGCAAUGAAGCUCCUUUGUCGGGGUGGCGGUGGCCGAAGGCAAGGCGGCGUCAGGUCUAGUGGAGAAGAAAGGGGCUAGGGUUGAGAAGGAUGGGCAUAUCUGACGGAUAAGGGCGCGCGCACGAAUCUCAAACAAACAAUGGAAGGCAUAUAACUAACGAGCUACCGGAAGAUAUAUAGGAUUGGCUUGGAGUCCCUAUCUAUGUUCCGGAAGGUGUAUAAGAGUUAUAACUAUAAAGUCCAAUUAAACCCAUUAGCUACAACUAUUGUAUGGCGUUAACUAGCUAACUAUUCCGUUUUGUUGGACCCUUAGGUAAAUCAGCGUGGGGAUGAAAAAAAAUGUUGGGUGAGGUAAGUUAGCGUGGGGAUGAAAAAAAAUGUUGGAUGAGAAAUGUUGAAUCAACAUUUUUAGAAAACAUUGAAUAAAAAAAUUUAGAAAAAGAUGAACCAACAUUUUUCCGACAAAAGUUGAACCAACAUUUUCGGAAGCUUUCUUCUCCCGCGCCGGUGAGCGGUGCCAGGGUCGGGCUGCACAGCGGUGCACGGGGGAGGCGAGCGGAGGCACGCUGGCAUCGGGGAGCGGGCUGCAGGGGCGGCGGGGCCGGGCUGCAAGGGGUGGCGGCAUGGGGCGCACGUACGGCGCCGGCCGUGGGGCCGGCGACAGUAGGAGGCGGCGGGGGUGGAGGAGAGGGUGGCGGUGGGAGUGGAGAAGGCUGGGGUAGAGUGAUGUGUGUUAGGGUUGUGGGGAUCUAACAGUGUGAGUUGUUUUGCAUGUGGCGGUAGGAGUGGAGGAAGCAGGAGUAGGGUGAUGUGUGUUAGGGUUGUAGGGAUAUAAAGGUGUGAGUUGUUUUACAUGACUCUCAAACACGGGAAGGUGAGGAAAAAAAAGGGAGGGAAAAAAAUCUUCGGGAAGAUGAAUAUACGGAUCCACCACGGGGACGAUGUCGUGUUUGGGCUUGGGCUUUUAGAAGCGACCUCCUCGACAAAGUUAAGAUAAAGCCCAAUUAUCUGCCCAUUUGUGGUGUUCGGACCGAUUCGAUUCUUCUCGAGCUAUGACACAGAGCAUGCCCGUACGGUCUCUGAGCCUGAAGGUGAACUCUGAAGGCGCCUCCUCGAACGUUCGUAAAACCAAAAAUAAGGGGAAAAGUAGCCAUCGCGAGGGAGGCUCAUUUGAAAUUCGUCACAGAAAUAGCAUAUCCCACAAAUGCGACGACACACCACAAAAUUGUGCUGUUUCGAUGCUAGCAUAGAUGCAAUCGCCAGCAAAAUUCAGCUGCUUGUGCUUCUCGUAAGAGGAAGAUAUGAAUUCCGAAGAAAAGGGGGAGUAACACAAGGCCCCCACGGCAACUUGCAUGAACAUUUACAUAAUCUUACAUACACGUACAGAUUGCACACUGCCACAACGUCUACCAAAACCACUCCUAAUCGACUCCUAAGUCCUAGCAGGAUCACACACACAAAAGCACAGCAACAAAUGCCUGCACACCCAUCUUCUCCUCCAAAAACCAAAAACAAAGAUGUGCUGCUGCCGCGCUGAAUCCCCUACACCCUACACUAGCUAUCGCUGGUUCACCAACCGCGCUGGCGGCCGGACCAUCGCCGCCGGCGCGCGCGCACGUAGGCACGCAAAUUCACGCGCAGCUGGAGGCCGCCUGCCUCCGCGGUGGCGCGAGCACGAACAGGGCCUCGAGGUCCGGCGGCUGGAAGUAGCCGCCCUUGGGCGGCUCCCGGCGCUUGCCGCUGCCCCCGAGCUCCGGCAGCGCGACGGCCUUCUUCCUCGGCGGCGCCGCCGGGCACGGCGGCACCACUGGGAUGCGGCAGUCCUCGCGCCUCGGCGUCUGCCACCCCUCCUCCGCCGCUGCUGCCAUCAUCGUCUCCUCGCCGUGGUACUCGACCUCCAUCAUAUCACUCCGGUCUCCUGGGAUGGUUUGAAACAGUGUUCCGUCUCCUCUCCUUGCCGCUAUGAACAGAACAGAGCAAGAGCAAGCAAUCUCGGUGAUAGCGAUGCAAGCGAGCUGGUGGAGCGGUAAAUAUAGCGGUGGGUGGUGACGCAACGGCACGCGCGAAGUGGAGUCCAGCGGCAUGGCGGUGACGUGAUGGGGGGCUCCAUUGGGGGUGCUCGAUCGGUGCAUGACUCGUGGGGACGAGAUGGGCGGGACCCAGAUGUCAGUGGGGAGUAGGUGUGCGGCAGCUUGUGCGGGAGGUGGCGGGGUGGCUGGGAGAGUUACGUGUCACCGACUGGCCGGUGCGCGGGAAGCGCGUCGGUCGAAAGUGUCGGAAUGGUCUAGAGCUGCCGUCCGUCCGGAUUCCUUGUGCCGUUCCCACCGUGCAAACAAGAAAAAGACUUUGCUACCUCUGCACUGUACUGAAGACAGAGGAUACUACUGCAGUAAAAACCUGUCUGGAACUUUCAUUUUUUUUUUAUUUUUUUUACUACGUUACCAUCUGGAGUCGAAUUGUUUUCUACAGUAUGAAUCGGCAAAAGGCAGUAGACUUUGAUACAUAACGAAGGUAGCAAAACCCUCCAAAUGCUAUGGAAAACCUACUUUUUCUUGGACAAAAACCCUACCUUUUAGGAUCGGAAGGAAGCUAACAUCACCGAAUGGAGUCUUCACCGACGUACAAAAAGCUGGUAGCCUACCACAGACCACAGUCCACAGGCGAGUUACUCCGUAGUAUCCUAAUCGUAGUGGAAGAAGCCGAGGAUGGAUGGAUAGACUAGAAAAUGGUACGGUGUCGAGCAUAGCACUUCGGUACGUGGGUCUCUCGCACCGGCAGCCCAGGUUGUGGUAGGGAGGCGCGACACGUGGAGCCGGCCCAUUGCUGGCCAACAGAAAGGUUACCGCCAGCGUGGCACGGCCGUGUCCACGUGGCACUGCAUCGCGAGACAGGACACGGGAGUCGAAGGCGGAAAUCGAAAACCUCUGGCGGCCUCUCCAGCAGACAGACCAGUCGCCUCCAUUCCAUUGCAUACGGAGUAGCCCACGAGACCGCUGGCGGCCCAGCAGGCACACGACGACGAAGAAGAAUCUACUCAGCAAACUCUGGCCCUAUGGGCCGAGAACGUUUCUUUUUUGUUUCCAGGUCGCAGGUUCAGUUAGCCACAAGGUCCUGGAAACAUCGGCCUAUGUACAGGUGAGUAGGUGACAAUCCGCCGUGACCGAAAGAAGAAAAGAAAGAAAUUUUGCAACAAGCUGGUGCCAAUAAAAAGCAAGGAUUUCAUGGUUCAUAGUAUUCCUAGCACAAGCUACUAGCGUAAUUUCGAUUAAGUUAUUACACAAGUGGCACCAAGGCUUUGCGGCACCUUACCCCCAAGGAUCAAACAGAUGUAUCGCAUUGCCAGUUUGCCAGCAGAACAACUACCCCAGCUCAAGGCAACUGAAUUGCCCUGGGGUGGAGUCGCCGCUUGCCUUCUGAAGCACACUCCUUUCUACCGCAGACCUUCGCAGAUCAUGUAGAUCUCCCUUGAACUAGGCCGAGUCGCUUUGGGUCUCAACAAUGAUACUUUCUUGAACUUCACUUUACAAAACUUGCCAAACCCUGCACCAACGCAACAAACAGUCUUAAGUCAGUUAUAGCUGCUGCGAAUGUUCCUCUGUCAGAUGAAACAAUAACACUUAAUUCGUGCUUUGGUGGAAGAGCAAAGAAGCACUUCUCAAAUCAAUAAUGGUCCACUUAUAUUAACCUGAUACGUCCUCGUUCUCAAGAAACUUCAAUACUAGGUUGCCUCCGCGACGAAGAACACCAUCCUCGUCAGGGUCAGGCUCUGUAGAGCUCAGAUACUUUUCUAUGGUAUCACUGUAAUCAGAUUCUUUUAGCUUUAUCUUCCCUAAUGCCAAAGAGAGAGCACGCAUGCCCAAUUCACAAGAUAUAGCUUCAUCUUUGGUUGUGAUCCCUGAAAUUCGUGGACACAUGUCGGACAGUAUCACAGAGAAUCCUCGUUCCUGUAGAAGAGGAUAAAAUCCAUUAAUCAAACUACAACCAGCACUGAUUACAAGUUCGCAGGACACAAAGAAACUGGAAUCCAUGAUUUGGUCUUUCUAAUCAGAAGUUUGAAACCAAAAAGGGAAAGCUUGGCUUUUCGAUUGAUGAAUCCUCCUAAGAGCGGUACCACAGGGUACAAAGGACAGAGGUUUGGGUUAAUGUACAUCAUACAGAGGGCUGAGCAAAAAAAAUGAGCUCAGCUUCACUCAAAAUGAUAAUGCUCCCAUUAUAACAACUAACAGUUGUGCUUUUCAUUUCAGGACUAAAUAAUGAAUAAGUACAUUGCGGCCUUCGAUAUUCAGAUUAUAAUUUCUUGCAUCUCUAGUUCCUACUCCCUAUGGUAAAUUGCCUCUUUGAGUCGUAUUCGAAGUCUAGGAAUGCUUGUCUUUCCAACUAUGAAACAUUAUAUAUCUAACCUAAGUGCUAAUGUCACUUCAACAAACUGAAAGUAUCCUAGGCAAAUCUCACAUUCAGUCCAAUUCAAACUUAAUUGAGCAAUAUGCCAGCAUGCCACCAUUCAUUGGUGUAGCAAUCAUCGCAUCCAGUUACCCAGAUAACCGAUGGCAUCAAGAACCAAGCCGCGAUGUGGGUCGCUGCGGGAGCCAAACAUUUGCAGGAACUCCUUCUGCCCCCCCUUUUUUCUUAGUUUUAAUUGACAUAGCAGAGUUUUGGCUUUCCCAGUUUUGGGGAGGCGAGUGUACAUUGUGUAUAGAACUUUUGUUUUUGGCCCGUCGGGUCUUCCCUCUUUAUUAAUAUAGCAGCAGCUCUCCUACUGGCUCGUUUCCAAAAAAAAAUCAUCGCAUCCAGUGUUCCUGACUAAGCAAAGCGGAUAAAUGCAAGCAGAAGUAAGCAAACAAACAAUCGAACCUGUGGCGACAUUGCCCGAGCCUGCUGCUUCAUCAGAGUCAUGACAUCUGCACAGACCGUCCUGACCCGCGAGUCGCAGUGAGCAGAGGGGACCUUCACCUUCUGCUCUGCAACAACCGAGUCAUCGAAUCAGACCGACGGCCCAUCCAUCAAUAAUCCAUCGCACUGACGAACAACAAUUCAACCUUUACUGACCUUAACAUCGACACCGACGACAACGCCGCCCUUCUCGAGGGGACCCAGGUUCUGACACGCCACCUGCAGGAAGCAACCACCGGGCAAGUUAAUCGCAUCUGGAAAUGAGGACUGAUCACAUACUGAGAGCUCGAGGAGACGAGGAAGAGUAAACGGAUCGUCACCUGGAGCCACGCGCCGGGAGCACAGCCGAGGUCGAGCACGGCUGCUCCGGGGGUGAUGAGCCUGUGCUGCUUCUGCAUCUGGAUCAGCUGCGGCAGCAACGCAAACGGUCAGCGGCAUGACACGGGAAGAGAGAGCCACAGGGAGAGCGCGGGAGCUGACCUUAAGUGCGGAGCGGGCGACAUAGCCCAGCCGCUGCGACUCACGGUAGAAGAAGUCGGCGGUGCCCCCCGCGGCGCUCAUGGCGACCUCGUCCGACGGCGACGGCGACGGAGGGGGGAUUGCUAGGGUUUUAGCCCGUCGUCUUUCCUUCCUUCUUUUUUUUUUUUGCGGAGAAGAGGAUUUAGCCCGUUCUACAUGAUGGGCUGGUCCGUGUUGGGUUGGGCCCUUGGGCCUUCGCAUGCGUAGCCUUUGCUACAGUAAAAGGUGACGUGGACGGCCUCGGCGCCGCGCGACCCAUCGGAUCGGCAAGACCUUCUAGACGGUUCUCAAACCCACCGGCCACUGCGGUUAUCGACAGCACCAGGUCCUGCACGAAUCGAGUCGCCGCGAGCAGAGGUCAUGGCGGAUUCGGCCGCGCCCCGUCCAACCGUCCUCGUCACCGGCGCCGGCGGCCGCACAGGUAGCUCUACCUUCCCCGUCAACACCGUUAGUGACGAACAAGAGAGAUGUUCUGCCAAUUCGCCUGUUGGUCAAGGCUGAUGAUACUACCUGAUGGGGAAUUUUGGUUGGCUAGCGUGUGGGAAUUUUGAUCGAAAUGAGAAUGCCUUCGAUUUUGGUAUACCCACAAUUUAACUGCCGUCUUCAUAGAUAUAGUUUUGCUAGUAAAGUUGCAGUAGGUGUGUACGAUUUCUGCAACUCUAUUUUUCUUUGCGCCCUCUGCUCACACUGGCAUUACUUGAUGUUAGGCCAUAUUGUGUACAACAAGCUGAAAGAGAGAUCCGAGCAAUUUAUCGCGAGGGGCCUAGUGAGGACAGAGGAGAGCAAACAGAAAAUUGGGGGAGCAGAUGAUGUUUACAUUGCUGAUAUAAGGGAUGCAGAUCAUCUAGUGCCUGCUGUUCAGGGUGCUGAUGCUCUCAUAAUCCUCACAAGUGCCGUCCCGAAGAUGAAACCGGGUUUCGACCCUAGCAAAGGUGGGAGACCUGAGUUCUACUAUGAAGAUGGAAUGUACCCUGAGCAGGUUAAUUGACUGAAUCUUUCUCCAAGAUCACAUGUACUUGUGCAUUCAUACAAUUUUUCAUCAAUUUGUGACUUGUGAUAACAUUGUCUUUGGAUGUGCUUUAGGUGGAUUGGAUUGGCCAAAAGAAUCAGAUUGAUGCUGGUGAGCAUAUUGAUCAUUCUGCUUUAUGGUUCAAUAUUUUUUUUGGGCACAUAAUAAGUCAGUAUAGAUGUUUGUUAAGUGGAUUCCCUCUGCUGACAGCCAAAGCUGCUGGAGUUAAGCAUAUAGUGUUGGUGGGAUCCAUGGGAGGAACAAAUCCUAACCAUCCAUUGAACAGUCUUGGUAAUGGCAACAUACUGGUAAGUUGGGAGUCUGAUUAUUUCCCUGGAUAACUGCUUUCCAGUCUCACUUGAAUCAACUUAUUAUAAAUGUGAUUAUCUUAAUUAUUGCAUGUGUUUGCUGCAGGUAUGGAAGCGCAAGGCUGAACAGUAUUUGGCAGACAGUGGGGUCCCUUAUACAAUUAUAAGGUACACGGUGCAUGUAGAUCGAAACAAAAUCCUUCUGCUUGUAGUUGCGUUAGUCUCAUUCCAGUAUAUUUCUCUCAUAUGUUUUGUGUAUCUAGAGAGGCAUUUAUCUGGAUUGUGUGAACAAAAUGCCAGCCUUUCUUUUCUGGAAAAGUUAUUUCAUGUAGCAUUGUCUUGUGUAAAGGCUUAAGCAUGGAAUUCAUACAAAAGAAAAUAGUCAAUUUAAUGUCUACUCUGGUAUAUAAUCUGAUGCUCUUUUCUUAUGUGUUUUCAAAUUUUAGGCCUGGAGGUUUGCAAGACAAAGAUGGAGGAGUGAGGGAGUUAGUUGUUGGAAAAGAUGAUGAACUUCUCCAGACUGACACAAAGUCUAUUCCUAGAGCUGAUGUGGCUGAAGUUUGUGUUCAGGUAUAUAUGCACUAGACCACCAUCUUCACAGAUGUGACUGAAAGAACCAGGUUAAAAUUGGGUAUGGCCAUGGACCCAUUGGACAGCAUGGUGGAACAACAAUUCUGAUCUUAAAACUUUUUUUUGCCUGAUAAUAGGCUCUGCAGUAUGAAGAGGCAAAGUUCAAGGCGUUUGAUUUGGCUUCAAAGCCUGAAGGUGUGGGCACACCAACGAAGGACUUUCGGGCGCUGUUCUCCCAGAUCAUGGCUCGGUUUUGACCGAUCCGCUAAGAAUCCUAAGGUCUACACACCGUUGGUUUCCAUGGUGUUGCAUUCCAUUGCUUGUGGACUUGUACUAGAUAUAUAAAAACUAAGUAGCUUGUGUAAUGGGGAGCUGUAAUUUGGUAUGAAUCCAAGUGUGAUUGCAAAAUCGCAUUGUCAAACUACUGAAAGGAAUCGGUGCCUUAUUGUAAGAUCCUUUUUCUUUCGAUAAAGUAAUCAGUGCCUUAUUCUAAGAUGCGCUGCUGUAGUUAAAGGGCUCUUUCUAGUUGCCAUUGCCACUGUGUACGCUGUUAACACCAAUCAGCCAACUUAUUCAGGCGUGGCAGUUUGCAUAAAUCCCACAGAACAAUUUAUUCAGGCACAGCUAGUACAUCUGCUUAGGUUCUUCGGUUGCAACUUUCCCAGUGGCUUCGAAUGACGCAGGUAAGACAUGUCCUAGUAGGUUCUGUCUGCAAAUUGGUGUCUACUUUUGGAUGAACUUUUCGGUCAUCCAGCUGGUUCAUUGAACAAGGCAGAUGGACAUGGCAUCACGAAACUUUUGGCUCAGAACUAGGCAGUUCUUCAGUUAAUUGAAAGCAAAGCUUCAUCAAAUUCCCAUGUUGCUGGUGACUAUCUCAUCACGCAAAAAUGAUUUACUAAAGCAAGAAAGCAAACAAUGAAAAAUGAUUUACUAAAGCAAUGAAAGCAAACAAUGAAGAAAUUUUAUUGGAGCUUGCGACUCAAUGAACAAAAGGUUGGUGUAUUCUAUGAUAGAAGAGGAAGAGAAAGUCCUAUAACACUAUUACAUAAAUGUGGUGGGGUAUGCACUUACAGGCUGUAUCUAUUCCAAUCAGUUUGAUCUUCAACAUCUUCGCUACCAGAAAAGCGCUAGAAUUCAUUAACAUAAACAUUAUACAUGAUGAAUUGCUGAAUCCGUAUAUAAAUGCAUCGAAGGAACGGAGGCAAACAAUGAACGAAAUUUAUUGGUGCUACUGGUUCGACGAAUAAAAUUAGUGUCUUCUAUUAUAUGAUAGGAGGAACAAAGUAAGCUACAGCAAAAACCUGUUACUUCAUUGCACAGAUUAUGCAGACACCAACAAGCAUCUUUUAUUGCAGGCAAUUAAAAUUUCAAAAUUUUGGCUUCAGGAGAACGGCCAGAAUUCAUGGACAUAAACAUCAUACAACAAAAUGAAAUGACGAAAAAAAAUAAUAAAUUCAUAGAAAAUGUCAGCUGAGCCCACUAAUAUUUACAGGUCUAGCUAGUCCAUGCUGAAAGAGCAAAUAUGAUACGGCCCUUCCAACCUUGUAGCAUCCACUUGUUAUCUUCGUCAACAAGGAAAUCCCUGUGGUAGCUCUUGCUCACCUUGUAUCUUGCUCUCUUCAUUAUCUCUUCGUUCAGGCGUAGCUGCCUAAAACCUGCCCUGAGGUUCCUCAUCUGCCACUGUUUGUAGGUCUCUGGCCUUUCAAUCCUCUCUGUGCCCUCACAGGCAAUCACAUUAAGAGCUUCCCGUCCAAAGAAUUCACUUUCUAUCAGCAGCCUAUGUUCAUCCAUCCGUGAGGCAUUUGCUUCAAGCAUAUCGAAGAUUGAAGAGAAAAAAAACAUAGCCUCCUUGAACCGUGUCACGAAGAAGGGUGCAUUGUAAGUACCAUUGACAAUCCCAUGAACGAACAAAUGGGGAUUCAACUUUCUGAUUGUGUUCAAAACCCUUGUUCUGGGGCUGUCAUCUGUUACCGUCUCGUCCAUCAUGUUCCUCAUUCGGUAAAGGCAGUUGACGACAAGAUACUCAUCGCUUUUUAUCUUGAGAUCUUCGACUUGGAUGGUAUCCCACUUGGAAGCAAUAGCUUGAUAUUCGAAGGGAAUGUUGAACAUACGGGCAUACUCAUGUAACCGUCGCCCUGUCGCCUCUAUACGCUCUGCAGGGCGGAAUCCUGGUAGGGGAAAAUCGAUACCAGUGAUCCGAAGGCUUGGGGGCCCACCACAUCUCUUUGAGAGACGCUGCAUGAGGACUGGCCACUGAAAACCAUACUGUACCCCAUAGUCAAUAAUGUGCAACCUUGCUUCACUCUUAGAAGCAUUCAAGAUGGUCGUAUUUGCAACGUAGUGCGAUAUUAACCUAAAUGAGCAUGCCUUAACAUAUAAACCGAAUGCUCUCAGCAUUUCACCAGUAGAAGUUCUCUUUGAAGUAAGUGAACGGUAGAUGCUGCUACCAGUGCCAGCUAGGCGAGCCUCGAGACCAUUAGCGAAGUAGUGUGCCAAUCUCUGGCCAGCAUCUCCAGUAGCAGAAGAAUGCUUCCUAAUCUGUUUUAACAACUCAUUUGCGUUUCGGUGAUCAUCAAUAGCUGCGGCCUGAGCACAGUGUAUAAGUAGGGUUGUGAGAUCGACCGCCUCCUCUUCUGGACUAGUACCAGAUCUUCCCUUCCUUCGGCCUCUUCUAUUUCCCGAUCCUUUCACAUAUCUGCCAUUGAUUUGUGCUUCAGCUGGCAUUGGUGAGUGGAACUCGCAAUUUGCAUCAGUACACAAAAGGACUUUGUCAAACAUCUCUCGGACAGUCUCCUCAUCGCACAAUGCCAAUUGUUUGCUCUUCCUCUCCUCCAUCUCCAGAUCAUCAUCGUGUGGGUUCUUCGUCUUCCUACCUUUAUGAGUGGCACCAACUGAACACUCCACCACCAUCUGACUAGGUAAUUGGGAAGAGUUCUGAUUACUUGUGACCACAUCAUGAAAUCCUCUGCUUCCAGUGGACUCACAAUCGUCAGUCAUCCAAGAUUUCAUUUCAUAGGCCUGUGCCAUGAUAGGCUUAGCAGACUUAAGAAUGUCAACAAAGGGUUUCUCGACGGCGAGGAGGGCUGAAUCCUCCACAGAUGCACUGCUAACAGGGUAGGAUUCGUCAUCCUCAUCUUCGAGAAGGAAUUGAUUGAUGUAUGCAAGGACCGCAUCAUCGGCAUCAUCGGCGCUGUCCAGCUCUGUUGUGGUUGUUGAUGCCGGACUCGGUGUGGUGCAGCCAAGCAUGACCCAGGGUGGCGAUGGAUGAGAACUCACGGGAGGGUUGUGGCUGUGGAAUCCAUAUGAAGGGAAAUAUUGAACUUGUGAUUGUUGUUGGAGGGAGAAAUUAAUCAUGUGAGGGGUGGGCGGAUUUGGGGUGGACAACUGAUCACCAAAAUCAAUAUUAUCACGAGAACCAGGGUCCAUCAUAAUUCCUUGAAGCUUCUAUCCACAAGAAAGCCUAUCCGUGUCGCAGUCACUUAUAGGUUCAUGAAUCUCAAUCCCACAUCUACUGUAACUCUCUUUUUCCCUCUAGAACACAACGAUUCCGCUUAGAGAACUACAAAUGGCAAGAAAGCUGAUGAUGGAACAAAGUAUUGGCAUCCCACGUUUUUGCCGAGAAGUAAUUUGAAAAGCGAAAGAAGAUGAGAUUUACCCUACAAAGCGAUUGAAGAACAUGGACGGGCAACUGUCUGGCAAGAUCUGUGAUCUACGCUACUAGGAAAGACUGGCAAGCGUUGCUUACUUGCUUAGUUGCGGCUCCAAGGAGACGCGUUGCUCUCCAUCCUAAGCCUGGGAUGCUGGCGCUGAUGCGUGUAACCUUGGAGGAAGAAAGCAGUGGUGAUUCGGGGCAGCGGCAGCAAGAGUCCAAGGACAAGAGCUCUGGUUGGGGUAUGCGGCAGUCGCCCGUCGGGCGGUGGUUCUCUUUCGUCAACUGGGAGAUUUGUUUACUUAAGUUGCAUCAGCAACGAAUCAGCAGUCGGAUUGGUGCUCCUGUGUUUGGUAAUCGAGGUGGGAGGAGGGGAUGCACCUCGGUGAUGCGCGAGGAGGUGCCGCCGCACGGGACGGGUCUGGGCGCAGAAAUGAUCGGAUUCUCUGCGAAGGUAACUAUGGUUUGCAGCCGGCAAGGACGAGCCAUCUUCGCCGUAGUAUUUUUCUUUUCGUUUCCGAAAUAUACCGGACUUUAUUUUUAUUCCCGGAUGUGGCCACACUAUGCAUGUAUGGCACAUCGAAAUGAAGUUUUUUCAAAGGAUGAUUGAUUAAGGUAAUAUUUAUUCAAUCAUAGUAAUCAGUACAAGCAUCAUUGAGUCCAUGAUCUUUUGUGAAGCAAGGGCAAUGGCAAUCUUGAUUUGUUCUUUAGGUGCGUUUUUUUACUACUCCCAGUUUAUUUAGGCUCACAACAAAACUUAUGCAUCUAGAAAUGUCAAAACUAAUAAUAAUUUGGGAUGGAAGGAGUAUCUUUUUAGAUGAUUUUACUACCUAUACAAGACAUGGAACUAAAAGCAUUGCGAGCCGCAUGCGUGGUCAUGGCAAUUGAUGGCAGGAAGAAUCUGAGUAGGCCCUGAAGACCAAAACACCAAUCACUGGUGUGGAACCGGACGAGAUGCCGGGGACAAUUUUAUGAUGAUGUACCAAGCGCAAACGAAAUUGGCCCGUAACACUUGUUCUUCGUCGCCACGAUUGGCCCAAAGCUUGUGACCUUCCCCACCUGGGCUGGAGGCCUACAGCCGAAUUUUUUUUAUAUAUUUUUUUAUUUUAGUAUUUUACAAAAUAUAUGUUCUAAUAAAAAAUUGUAAAUUUAUAUCUAUACCGCUGUUUGAAACGGCUAUAGCCAGAUGAAACGGCAGAAAGUACAUUAUAGCAAACCUUACCACCACUUGAACCGGCGGAAUUUACCUUAUCUGGAUAGCACACUUUCAAAAAAUCAUAACUAAUUUAUAUGAACUCCAUCUAUAAACUUUAUAUGAAUUUUAGUCUGAAACUUGUGUCAAUUAUUUGAGUACCAAGAUAGCUUCAAAUAAAAAAAGUUUUAACUACAAAGUUAUAGAUCUCGUCGAGAUCUACAAUUCUAACAUAAAGUAUAUCUCCAUCCAAGUUUAUAUGAAUUAAUUAUAAUUUUUUGAAAGUGUGCUGCCCAGUUUCAAUCUAAAAUUUGAAUUUUAAUCUAAAACAUGGAUCGAUUAUUUGAGUGCCAAGAUAACUUCAGAUGAAAAACUUUUUAACUACAAAUUUGUAGAUCUUGUCUAGAUCUACAAUUUUCAUAUAAAAUUUAUCUUCAUCCAAGUUCAUAUGAAUUAGUUAUGAUUUUUUGAAAAUGUGCUACUCAAAGAAGGGAAAUUCCGCCGGUUCAGGUUCCUGCUACGCACCUUCCGCUGUUUCAUUUGGCGAUAGUCAUUUCAAACGGUAGAUUUCUAAUUUUUAUUACGAUAUAUAUUUUUGCAAAAUACUAAAAUAAAAAAAAAA
This 49184-nucleotide long non-coding RNA is filed under the name Setaria viridis. Its description in RNAcentral is "long non-coding RNA (SVIR_LNC010064)". The stretch from base 3010 to 3170 matches the Rfam family "U1 spliceosomal RNA". Lineage: Eukaryota; Viridiplantae; Streptophyta; Magnoliopsida; Poales; Poaceae. The record is from RNAcentral.